UGUCCUAUGAUUCCUCUUAUUGCUAUGAUUCCUUAACUGUAAACUAUCAACUGUAAACCUAAACUUUCCCUGACCCCUACUCAUACUAACGCUACACAUUAUACGUGGGCUGGCUGCCGCGCAACUAACUACAAAGCUUGGCGGUCAUUAUCCUAAGCUUGUCUACUUUUUGAGUCCACCAAGAAUUCUUGACUUCAAAGUGGUUAAGCUACUAUAUAUCCUGUAUACGCUCUUUCGAUUCCCCGAAGAUUCUAAGAUAAGGCAUUUCAGGUCUAAGAAAAGAAACAGCAAGCUAAUUAGAGUUUCUCAUUUAUGUUUAUAUAGUAGGGUUCUCUCAAGGACACUGAUCUCUGGACAAUUCUAAUACGGAGGGCAGUUGGCUAUACCACACAAGAUGACAGGCAGUUAAUAUCCUAGAGUGCCUCUUCCGCUAACUCUCAAUAGACUUGAAUUUCCGUAAGAAUGCAGGGUUUAACCCUUCUACGAUUCGUGACUUUCUUUUGAUCACAUUGAGCCAGGCUGAGAGACGAGGAGUAGCUCCGAAAGAAAGAAUAGCCAGACUUUCGUGUACUUGGUGGUGUCCUUCUAUUUGCGUUUCGUGUCUAAAUCUAAGUAGAAGCAUGAGUAAGGUGCUAAGAGCCUUUGAAUCUUGGUGUGAAAAAGAAGGGUGCCCCCCUGCAUACGUAUAUGAUUGAUUGAUCUCCUCCCCGGCCCGUAGAUGUCAAAUACAAAAAGGGGGAUUUUCAGUGAAUAUAUAAGCAAAGAGGACAAGAGCCCGAUUGUUUGGGGCGACUACACGGCGGAGCGGAUUCUUUAAAUAUCGGCUGCUAGUCCAAAUCAAUAGCAGAGCACAAGCCUACCAUCAGACUAGAUUAUAUCCAAACCCCAGGGUUGUUCGGACUGGUACGAUCAAGACUUCGACUCCGACCUCCGAAGUAAGGUCUUACACUCCUAGAAUCAAUAAUCUAUAUUAGGUCUUCUAGGAUCCGCAGGUCGUGAAGGAGAUAAGCAGGACUCUUGGUGAAAGGAUUUUCGCUGACUCUUUUACCUUGAAAGUCAAAACUAUCCGGAAGAGUAUUCUUUUGAAUGCCUUGAGCCUUGAGGUAAGCAUUACUUACCACCAUCACAACUCAUGAUUCAUGUCUUUCGAAGAUAGGGGAACAUUGUGUUUUGUCUUUCCAUGAUUGAUUUAAGCGCUUUACAGAAUGGAUAAGGUUUGGAACUAGACAGAUUGGCAGUAAUGCGAAAACAUAAUCCCAAAGAGAAUAAAGAAUAGGGAGAAUUCAGAUUUGGUGGUACCUUCAUUGAUACUCAUCAUGCGAAUUGGAGAGCAUGCCCCUAUGUAUCUGUUCUUUAUGAGAAGUUCCUUCUAAAGAUGUCAACAUCUAUUUUGGAUUCAACAGCGGAAAAACAUCAAACAAUUCAUGCUUACUAUAGGUUCUAUUUGGCUUGUCGAAAUACCGUCAUCAUAAAUGAUGCCUUGCCUCGAUGGUAUACCUAUCGCAAUGCCUUCAUCCAAAUUGGAUAUGACCGGAGAAAAGGGAAUCUGCCAAUCGGUUAAAGCAAAGAUUCUGUUGGUGUUCCAUAAGCCCUAUUCCGUCCUAUUUUCUUAACGUUAUUAGUAGCGGCUCUUAAGAAGUACGCCCAAAAACAACAGGCGGCAACCNNNNNNNNNNNNNNNNNNNNNNNNNNNNNNNNNNNNNNNNNNNNNNNNNNNNNNNNNNNNNNNNNNNNNNNNNNNNNNNNNNNNNNNNNNNNNNNNNNNNNNNNNNNNNNNNNNNNNNNNNNNNNNNNNNNNNNNNNNNNNNNNNNNNNNNNNNNNNNNNNNNNNNNNNNNNNNNNNNNNNNNNNNNNNNNNNNNNNNNNNNNNNNNNNNNNNNNNNNNNNNNNNNNNNNNNNNNNNNNNNNNNNNNNNNNNNNNNNNNNNNNNNNNNNNNNNNNNNNNNNNNNNNNNNNNNNNNNNNNNNNNNNNNNNNNNNNNNNNNNNNNNNNNNNNNNNNNNNNNNNNNNNNNNNNNNNNNNNNNNNNNNNNNNNNNNNNNNNNNNNNNNNNNNNNNNNNNNNNNNNNNNNNNNNNNNNNNNNNNNNNNNNNNNNNNNNNNNNNNNNNNNNNNNNNNNNNNNNNNNNNNNNNNNNNNNNNNNNNNNNNNNNNNNNNNNNNNNNNNNNNNNNNNNNNNNNNNNNNNNNNNNNNNNNNNNNNNNNNNNNNNNNNNNNNNNNNNNNNNNNNNNNNNNNNNNNNNNNNNNNNNNNNNNNNNNNNNNNNNNNNNNNNNNNNNNNNNNNNNNNNNNNNNNNNNNNNNNNNNNNNNNNNNNNNNNNNNNNNNNNNNNNNNNNNNNNNNNNNNNNNNNNNNNNNNNNNNNNNNNNNNNNNNNNNNNNNNNNNNNNNNNNNNNNNNNNNNNNNNNNNNNNNNNNNNNNNNNNNNNNNNNNNNNNNNNNNNNNNNNNNNNNNNNNNNNNNNNNNNNNNNNNNNNNNNNNNNNNNNNNNNNNNNNNNNNNNNNNNNNNNNNNNNNNNNNNNNNNNNNNNNNNNNNNNNNNNNNNNNNNNNNNNNNNNNNNNNNNNNNNNNNNNNNNNNNNNNNNNNNNNNNNNNNNNNNNNNNNNNNNNNNNNNNNNNNNNNNNNNNNNNNNNNNNNNNNNNNNNNNNNNNNNNNNNNNNNNNNNNNNNNNNNNNNNNNNNNNNNNNNNNNNNNNNNNNNNNNNNNNNNNNNNNNNNNNNNNNNNNNNNNNNNNNNNNNNNNNNNNNNNNNNNNNNNNNNNNNNNNNNNNNNNNNNNNNNNNNNNNNNNNNNNNNNNNNNNNNNNNNNNNNNNNNNNNNNNNNNNNNNNNNNNNNNNNNNNNNNNNNNNNNNNNNNNNNNNNNNNNNNNNNNNNNNNNNNNNNNNNNNNNNNNNNNNNNNNNNNNNNNNNNNNNNNNNNNNNNNNNNNNNNNNNNNNNNNNNNNNNNNNNNNNNNNNNNNNNNNNNNNNNNNNNNNNNNNNNNNNNNNNNNNNNNNNNNNNNNNNNNNNNNNNNNNNNNNNNNNNNNNNNNNNNNNNNNNNNNNNNNNNNNNNNNNNNNNNNNNNNNNNNNNNNNNNNNNNNNNNNNNNNNNNNNNNNNNNNNNNNNNNNNNNNNNNNNNNNNNNNNNNNNNNNNNNNNNNNNNNNNNNNNNNNNNNNNNNNNNNNNNNNNNNNNNNNNNNNNNNNNNNNNNNNNNNNNNNNNNNNNNNNNNNNNNNNNNNNNNNNNNNNNNNNNNNNNNNNNNNNGAAGCUCUAUAACAACUGCGGAGAAGCUCUAUAACAACCAAAUAGGAAAGAUCUUGAAGGAAAGAAAGAAAGGAGAACUUUGGAUAGGAAAGGAAAGAUCUUGAAAAAAAGGAGAACUUUGGAUUAUUCCAUAUCAAAGGGCUGAUUCCACUUCCAACUUACAAGGACUGAUUCCACUUCCAACUUACGGAGGAUGAUAUCUUCGUAGACAAUAAGAGAUAGAUCUAGGGGUCAGGAGAUGAUCUUUGUAGACAAUAAGAGAUAGAUCUAUGGGUAAAGAGAUGAGAUUCUUUCUUAUUAGUGGAAAAUUGCCCUAGCUAGAUUCACUCCCUUAUUAUAGCAGCGCAGCCCCUUGGCUUUGUCCCAUAACAGCUGAUAGCAAGCAUUCCUGACUUUGGCUUUGUCCCUUACCAGCUGACAGCAAGCAUUCCUUACCUUGGCUUUGUCCCUUACCAGCUGACAGCAAGCAUUCCUGAAUGGAUCUAGACUCUUUGGCUACCGGCACCUCAACAAAGUCACUUUCCUUCCUUCCACUCUAAUAGUUCUAGCUUUCUUUAGGGGCCAUAAGAAGAAAGUGGAAUGUGCUAUUCUCAGUCAUCCCAUUCCCUUCCAGUUGGAACUAGUAAUGCCGCAUCAGGCUCUUCCUUCUUAUUGAGAGCAAAGGGGUAUACCUUCUGCGUGCUUAACCCAGCAAGAUCCGAGAUCUGAUCUACGUCCUGCUUACCCGCAUACCCUUGAAAAGACACUUUAUGCCCCAGGUGUGAAGGAACUUCUUGCACAUGGGGAAGGAAUUCGGAGGGAAUAAGGCAUCAAAGAUCUAUGGCAUCAGUCGAAGACUAGGUUGCAUCAUAGAAUAUAUAGGUUGCCAAUAAGAUGAAGGCAAUUCUCUUAAAUAGGGAAGGGGAGCUAUGUCUUUACUCAUAGGGAAGGGGAGCUAUGUCUUUACUCCACUAUAUACUUGGUGCUCGAAAACAAACAAACAUCACUUAUUUCAUUGAAAAAAGCAAAUAGAAUAGUUAAGGGAAUGGAAUCAAAAACAGAUAAUAGAGAAUACGAUAUGGAACAAUAAACAAGUACUGUAGCGCCUAGAAGCAUAAGCCACAUAUCUUGGAGUUCCGAGUUCACCCAGAACCAUAUCAGAAGCGGGAGACAGAGAAUCACUUCAGGGUUAAGAAAGGAGAGUUCGAGUAUAGGAUCUUAUCUCUAUCGGUAAAGUCGAAAGGAACCGACCCAUAGCAAGCGGAAAGUGGAGUUUCAGAAUCAUUAAUACAUCCUGUCUGGGGUAGGAACUUUAUAAGUUGUUGUAUCCGGAAUAAGGAGAUACUGAAUCUACUGGAUCUAUAGAAUCAUAUAGAUCAGGGAGCAAUAGUAAUAUGUCCAGAGUCGGUGUAAGGAGAAGAAGUUCAGCAGCUAGACAGAAUACAAAUAUCAGAAGAGAAAUAGGGCUAUAUUUAGGUAAGAAGAAUAGGAAUAGGAUUUCGCUAGGUAUUAUAGAAAAGGGUAAGUCACAAACCAUGCGCUCUCUACUUAUUGAAUCGAAUCGGCUGACUUUUGAACUUCUGAAGAUCCUAAUUCCAAUCCAACUCUUUCUGUAUCUGUAGUCCUGUUUUCUGGGGCCCCCGUGUGUCUUUCUCUAUGACGAGUAGUUAACAGGCGUUAAACGACAAGCUUCUAAAUUCAUGCUCUUGCUUCAAUGGAAUCUCUUUCUGGGGAAUUUGGAGUGGGCAUUAUUGCCCCAUGUCGGUUCCGCUCUUAAUCGUUCCCUGCCUCUGUUCAUCACGCUGGUUCAGUAGUUUCGAUCAACGAUGUCUCUUUCGUCGUCGUUAAUACGUGGAAUAGAGAGUGACUCGGCAGUGGUCUCGUCUGGUGCUUUCCCAUCGCAGCACUUCCUUGUUAGUCGAUUCAUGUGGAUGGUGAUCCAUUGGUCUUUCAAUCGACUGGAUCAAUCUUCUCAGGAUUCUUAUACCGACGAUGGCCUUUUUUCAGUACACCUUAUUGACUUCAGUAAUGGAAUCUAUCUCACCCGCCUCUCAUUUAGGAAUAGAAACUACCUUUCCUGUUAGCGCAGAGGAAAACAACACUCUAAAUUGAACUGAUGUGUAUUGCAGACAUGAAUUUAUUGAAUCCUAUAAUCUAAGGAAUUUCUCUAAGACACCUUGGGCUACGGGCAAUCACAGGACAUUAAGCUGCUGACUCCCAGUUUACUGCUGGCUCUCUCUCUUGGGGUGCUAACGGGUGAAGCCCUGUAACUCGCUUGUUUGUUUGUUCUCCUGACUGCAAUUACAAAUUGAGGGUUAUAUGAAGACAACUCUGGUUUUCACCCGAUACUUGAAAGUUCAAGAACUCCUGCCGCGGAAGGAGCCCCGGUGCUAGAGUCUGAGUUGUUGUAGAAAGAACAGCUCUUGGUCUUGCUUGGGAGGGAAGGAAGGCUUUUUUGGUUUUGGGCUAUUACUAGUAGAUCCCUUUCUCUUUGCACGAACAGGGAAAAGAUCAAAGCAAGGUAUUCCUUUUGAGAAUCUAGUUGAUGCGAGCCUAAUUCAUUAUGCCAUAUCCACUCGACUCGGGUAAGCCAAAAAAGAGGUGUCUCAAUAGCCCUUGGGUGAAUAAUAGAAUACGGGAAUGAUUCAUUGAACGGAACCUACCAGUUAGGCUUGGAGAACAGAGCUAGUCAACAGAUCUAGACGUGCGAUAUGGGACACGAACGCCAGGCCCUGUUGCCUGAAGGGAGGGACGAGGUCUUUCUUUUCGGUCUUUCUUUUAGAGACAAAGGGUUAGGCGGCUGAUUCAGAGGAGUAGGCUAUUGGCAUUCCAUUCCGGACAAGGCAGUUAGCGGACUUCAGGCUAUCACUCUCUUCCGGGCAUUAGCAAGCAAUCCAGACAUAAAUAUCUGCCGAGCCAGCCGGCAAUCCAGACAUAAAUAAGGAGAAUUGAUAUCUGCCGAGCCAGCCGGUAAGAAAGCUAACCGAAAUAAGGUAACAGAAGGAUUCUGCUAGUCUAUGAAUAGAGAAACAAUCAGUCUGUGAUAAGCAUAGCAUCAGAUAGCUGAAAGAAGUUGCUAGUUCUGUAAGCCUAUUACGAUCAGCAGUAGCCGAACGAACUGGAUGCUAAUCAGUCAGAUCAGAUAGGAAAAGCCUUUGGCAUCUAAGCUGGCUCACGGUGGAUAGCUAGGCAUGUAAGGUAUAUUCUUCUCUUGACUAUGCCAAUCCUAUCCUUUACCAACAAGCAGGCUACCGAUAUAGCUGUGGAUUGAUAUAGAGAGUAUACUGUGCCAAGCCUAGAAAGUCAUAAUUUCUGAAUGGGAACUUACAUACAAAAAGAAUGGAACAGUAGACAACCUUGGUGUAAAAGUGGAACAUGCGAGAAAUGACGUACCCCACUUAAGCUUGAAGAUCCUAAUCCUACUGCUCGAACAGUAACUCCACGAAACGACUUUCCAAGAACUGCUUCCACAGCGUAUUCUUUUGGGCUUCAGAUCUUGAGACUUCCAAAAUACAGAUAAAGAUUCAUAAUUAAUGGAAUAUUGGACUUGGGCGUGUUAGGAAGUUAAGCAAGAACAAGUAAUGGCGUUCCAUACACGUAAGCACCCGAACAAGCUUAUUUCUACGAACAAGAGCUACGGUCGACCACUACAAGGGGCUUCAGAGCAUAAGGGCACAUAAAGUAUACCUUUUAGCAUCGCGGGGAAACUCCUCUCUAUCAUGUGGGAAUCCUCAUUGAAACUUGGAAACGGUACUUCUGAUGCAUUUCACCCUAACAUAUGACCUGUUCCCUUGCGCAACGGGUAGAUCCUCGUGUAAUGAGUGGGCAGUAGAGAAAAUACAUCCCACAAUAUAUUCUGACUUAAUAAGAGCACUUGGGAUAAAGUGACGUAAAUCCACUAUUCCCUUUGCUUUUGACGAACUCUACUUAGAGCUAGAGCACCGAACCUCUCUCGUAGACAUCAAGCCAAUAACCGUACAAAACGGAACUUCCCGAUCCAGAUCCUAAUUAUGCUUCAAAGCCCGGAUGAAGAAGGGACGUUGCUUGGUGGACUUGCUUAUUACUGUUAUUAACUCCUAAUGUUAUUGUCCCCUUUCUCUUCUGACCCGUGCCCCGACCUCCACUUUCCGUUUAGAAAUGUCCACUCUUGCGCCAACAGCUUUCCCUCCACUUUCCGUUUAGAAACGUCCACUCUUGCGCCAACAGCUUUCCUUCCAGUUUCAGAUCAGUCUUCUUGAGCACCAGGUCCGGUAUGGAAAUAAGUCAAGUAUCGAACAGUCCAUUCCCUUUUUCAACAACAUUAUUUCCUUGCCUUGCCGGAAACUCCAAAUCGAAGUGUCCCGAGUAGUAGGUCCAGUCAAAACAUUAACAUUAAGGGUCUUGAAUUGCACUUUCGCCAACAAAGGCGGAUACAGAUUCAAUAAGGGAUGAAACGAAAACUCCACUUGAUGAUUCUUCACCGACAACAAAGGGAAAGCCCAGAACUGCACCAGAAGCUUACGUAGUUAUGUACUCGAAAGUGGAAGAAUGAUUUGUUGCUUCAGCGAUAAGGGACUGAGUGAGAAUACUAGUAAGUCCCCUGGGGUGCCUCUAACUCUACUCUUGGAAAGUAUUCAACUCUAUUCUGAAACUCUUACUUGCGAGUGGAAUUCUUUACUCCGAUAGUUUCAUUGUUUAUUUCGAGUGGAAUUCUCACUUUUCUAUAAGAGCACUAGGGGAGUCGUUCAAUUCUCACCUUAGAGUGGAGAGCACAUGGUUUGUUAUACCCAUCUCUAUUAUCCCUAGGCGGGGAACAAGGAAGUUAUUACAAUCUCUUUGACUUAUUAUUCUUAUUCUCUAUACGGGCGCAAAGGGAGCUUCCUUGCCUAUAAGAUAUUCUGUUCUUCACCCCUAGCUAUAGCUUCUUAUCUUUCAAGAGCUUCUUAAUACGGUUUAUUACUUACUUCUUUUCUUCUUAACACCGCUGAUCCAUUCUCGUAAACUACACUCGCUCGCACUGCUUAUUCUUAUGCUUGAGAUCUUUAUUACCUUGCUGGUUAUUUAGCCGAUUCCCUAGCUUCUGGUGUUGGCGAAAGUCCUGUUUGGGGGUUAUAAAAGUAGAGUUAAGGUCGGAUUAAAGUACUGGUUCUUAUGCUUGUGUUUAAGGCUGUAACUCCUUUCCUUGGACUUAAGUGGAUAAAGCUGUUCCUGUGAAAGUGGAAUCCGCCUCUGUUGCUUGUGUUACUAAGUAUUCAAUAGAAGAAGUGUAAGUAGGUUAAAGUGUUGCAGUAGAAGGAGCUCGAUUGGCACUCUCAUCUUAAGAUUCAAUAAAUGAUUUAUUUGACUUCAGACUCAACACCAACUCUCUUGACUGUGCCGGUUAGAAAUAGAUUUCCAUUGAAGCGGUUCAAUUCAAUGAUUAACUGAAACAAACUAGAGUGAAGCGAAGGAAAGAGGACAAGACAAGUCACUACUUUAAGCGGUAGGAGCGGAUGAGUUUAGCUAAAGGGAGCUUGGAGACAAGCACUUAUUAACGCAGCUUCGCGAGUGGAAUCCGUUUGUCCACUUUCAUCCUAUAUCAAUGGAAUUUCUAAGGCUAUUUCGGGAGCUGCACCAGCCAUUACUUGUUUUGUUCUGGCGCUGUUCAACAGUUGGGCGAGUAAGGCCAGUCAAUCCUGAAUUUAUGAAUCUCACUGACUUAAUGAAGUAAACAAACAGAGCAUUGCUUCCAAACUACUCCUAACAUGAAGGGGCUAACUCACUUAAGAAAAGGGCUUGUUCACGAAUAGCUUGUUCUCGAACGGGGCACUUUAUAGGUAGGGGGGAAGUCUGGAAUAUAAGACCCCCAGCCAGAUCUGCCUUAUCGAACAUCUAAUACUUACGCCAAAUAUUCUAUUGCAUGUGAGGGCUUGUUUUCAAUUGAAUAAGAAUCUCCUUUUGAGGAAGAGAAGGAGGGCUGGUAUUUCAUUAUCAGAGGACUAGUCGUUAGAGCUAGUAAUGAAGAUGGCAUGAAGAUCGGCAUAUUACUAUUACUCUUAUAGACGAGAGCAUCUAGAGCAAUGGAUCGAGUAACUCCGCUCCGGAUCAACUGCCUAACGCGCAUAAACGAAGCUCGCCCCCUGUACUGUAUGUAUUUCUGUUAGUCACUCCCUCCCGCUAAAGCUAAAGCAGAAGAUGCGGCUUAGCCAGCAGCACUCUUUGAUCGAACCUUCUGUUGUAAGAAGAAGGCCUUUGCCUGGUCAAGAGAAAGAAGCUAUAAGUGACUUAGAGGCCUCAGGUAAUAAUAGAGUCCAGUCCGUAGGAAGGUAAUGCAGCUAAGCCGAGACUAGCUUGCUUCUGAGGCAUUGCAUACUUUUCAAACCAUUAUUAUAUGCUAUUAUAUGACGAUAUGAUCUUUUCUCUUGUUCAGAAGUGACGUUUGCUGCUAUCUACGACAAGAGUUAAGGAAUUGAUAGGGAAUCCGGUCUUAGUUUGAAAGAAGAAAGAACAGCAGCUCCAUUUUAGAUUCAAUCUGGCAAUAACUCUAGGUUCUUCACCAGUUUGGAUUGAGCUUUCACUCUUUCAAGGUAGAGCGAGAGAGAAGGAUGACUUCGACGAGCGAGAGAGAAGGAUGACUUCGACCGGGCCUGCCACUCACUCCACCGGAACCAGUAUGCUUCAUAAUACUGACCCAAUCUCGAUUUGGAAGUCGAGACAUCACAACUCCUGUGGCCUGCGAACUCUCUUGCAAUCCUACUUUUACUCUACGGCUGAUAUGGUAGGGUAGAAAUGGUUUGACAUCAAAGUCUGGAUGUAGUUUGGUGAAACCCGGCAGAUGAAGAAGCCCUAACGAAAGCAGGGAUCAUCUUUGAGAAGUAAGCUAUCUCUUGCCCUCUUUACCGAUUUGCAUCCUUACCUUACGAAAAAUGGAUGACUUAUAUGGAGCGAUGGAAGAGUAGAGGACCUCCUUGAGAUGGGGAGAUGCUUUUACCAAUGAAAGGAAUUAGCUCCUGGAAGGCCAUAGCAAGAGAGAUAGCGUUGGUUUCCGACUUAGUGAGAGAAGUAGGUAGUAUCAAGCAACAGGCAACCGAGGGUUGUUGAAGAACCCGAGUGUAUCAAUGGAAUGAUUGAGCGUUACGGGUACUCGGGAGUUAAGGACAGGCUUGACUAAAGUCCCCUCACUGGUAAAGAUAUUAGUAAGUGCCUUUCUACCAACCCUUUGGAAAAAGAAGCAAGCCCUCAUUCAAUUGAAAGACUUCCACCCUGAACAAAGAAAGACAUAAAGAGCAGAGCUCUCAGGACGCAAGGCUUUGUAGGUAAGGCGAUCCCCUCAAGUAUAACAGAGCACCUGCGAGCUACUGGACAGGAGCGAUCCAUAAGAAUAGCCUCGAAUAGCCCUAACCUCAUCUCGCCUUCCACCGCACCAGCAAGAGGAAACCGAAUGAGAGCAGACAGAAGACUAAUGCCAUCCGAGCAGAACCAGAAACUUGGACGCCGCCCAACAAGCACACCGGUUACUGAUGAAAGACCGUCUUAAAAGACUAGGAGCUGAUUCUAACAAAGAGAAAGACAAAAGUAGCUUGGCCCCCUUUUAGAUUCUUCACCGACGAAACUGUCAACCGAACUCAAACUUUCCUUUAGCGUAGUGCAAUCCAUUCCUCAUAUUAAUUGGACUCUCUAACAGAGCAUCUAAAUAGAAGUUCUUCUUAUUACCAGAGUAUCUAUAUCCACAACAUCCUUAUCUUAUAUUAUUGCUGACAUUGCUUACUGCUGGAACAACACUUUCUGAAUCGCUCGUUGCCAACACACAGAUGAAACUCUCCUUGAUGGCCCGAUAAGUCCCCGAUACUGAAGCAUCAAAAAGAAAGGUGCUGAAAGCCUUCUUAGAUUUGGAGAAGUGCCGAUUUUCAAGAACGUGAAUCUUAUGAUAUGUAUGGGGAAUCUCUUAUGAUAAUCAUCCACGCCUUCCACUUAUUUUGAUGCCGGAAAGUUGGAUAGGUUGGCCCCUACGUAAGGACUACUAUAUUACUCCCCCUAUUUCUCUAUGAAAUACAAGAUUGGAUUGGAUUUGUACAGUGUGUAGGAGGUACAUUCUUUCUAUUGCUAUCCUUUCACUCCUCUCGACUCUACUUGAGAAGUGUUUUUCACUUAUAUGUUCUGUAUGAAUUAUAGAUAUCUUACAUAAGAGACGGAUUCUUCUUUUUGACUAAAGCACAGUAAGAAGAAACAUGAAAGAAAAAGAGAGAGACGGGAGCAUAAUAGAACUUUGUUCUUGCUUGACCAUUACCUUCCAUACAUAUAUUUUGACCAAUAAAUAGGAGGAGGUGUAUAUAGUUAGACAGAUAGAUGAGUAAAUACGUAUGAAUACUCAAAAUACUAUUAACGCCCGGCCUGAUCCAUCUCGAUUCAUUUGUAUGAUCAUAUCUAUCCGAUACAUUAUUUACGUAUCAGGAACAUGAUUGGGACUGGUAACACGAGAUGAGAGAAGUAUUUUCCUCCGAUCUACCAACUGAGCCGACCAUUUACCGUGCAUAAUCCUAGUAUAGUACUCUAAUCUAUGUCAAUUAAUGGGACUAAACAAACAAAGUAGUAAAAGGGACUAAACAAACAAAGUAGUAAUAAAUGACACUAGUAAGUGUAAGGAUAAUGAUAUGGACUGUGAAUGAUUCAAUAAUAGAGAUUCUUUGCCCAUAUAUGUUCAUUUGUACAGGUUCUAUCCAAAUUGGGAUAAGAUCAUGAUUGAAGUUCGGAUCCUUUUGUGAAAGAGUAGAGUGAAUGAGAAAGAUAGUGCAGUUUGAACUAAACCACUGAUGCAAAAUAUGGAGUAUAAUAACUUUGGAAGUCAGCUUUAUUGGGAAUAGAGUAGGCUUUAUUGGGAAUAGAGUGACUUGAAACCCUAACAUUUUGAAAGUCGAUGACAGACUAACUGCUGGAAGGAAAGGGUAGUUUCAUUUAGAUUCACUAUUUAUUUGAUAAGAGAAUGGCUUCCAAUUCGGAACUGAAACUGGAGUUCUUGUGCGAGUGUUGUCAAGCGACGACUCCUCUUUUCUUGGUUGCCAUAACAAUAGAGUAUUUUCAAACAAGGGAAGAAAUAGAAUCAGCAGCACCGAGAUCAGAUGCAGUUUCCAGGGGUAAAGUUCCUGCUCUCCGUCUCUGCUUGAGUUUCCGAACACAGGACUUGUUUCUAACUAGAGAAGAAAGGAACGAAAACAGGCGAACGAACAAAGAAGGCUUUCCCCUAGGUCGUUAUGUCUAUUCUAUGGAACGGAGCUACUCGUAGGAAAGAAAGACGUAGAGAGCCUAUGAGUAUAUGAAUGGAUUAGGAGGAUUGGGAUAUCUAAGAAAUGCGGAAAUCAAUCCUGAAGAGUCAAUAUCUGUUUCACGCAAACACCGAACUCCGACUCUUUAGAAGAAUUGUUGAGGCAUGCCAUAUACCAGCUGCAUUGCAUUAUGGACCGGCAUCCAGUCCAGUACCUGACCUUAAUCAUCUACAUAAGAGCAUAUCGGCGCCUAAACCCUAAACUAUACCAAUCGGACCCAACAUCCAUCAUAUUCGAUCCCUGCACCAAACAAACCAUAUCUUAUUGACUUUGCAAUCGUCCCCAACACAUUUCUACUUAUAUCUACCACCUAUCUAUCUAUAUAUCUAAUAGAGAAACAGGUACUACCUACCUAUAUAUCUAAUAGAGAAACAGGUCUCAACCUUCUUGUUUACUCGAUCGACUAACUGGUCUCAUCUCAACCUUCUUGUUUACUCGAUCGACCUAUAGCCAUAGGCACCUUAAAUGGAAAAUGGCAUUAUGGGACCUUAACAUAGAAAAUAGCAUUAUUUACCCAAACCCUAUACUAUCAAAAGGGGGAGGCACCCCAAGAGACUUGCUUAUUCCAUUCCAUUCCCUUACCUGCCAAGUCUGAUUGUCAAGAGUCGUACGAGUGUCUGAGGGCAAGGAAUAGUAUUCAAAAAGGAAAAGAAUGUACCCAUUGGCAUGAUAACCAAUCGCAUACCCAGAAGUCUGAUGAUGCCCGGACCCUUGCAAGAGAGAUUGAUGCGAAUGAGAUUGAAAACCUGAUUGGGCGAUAUCCUCUAAGAAAGAAUCAUUGCGACUCAUUUAUAGUGUUGUUUACAAAGAAGAUUGAAACUAUAAGAGAUACAACGGGAAGCAGCUAAAACCUUAAGGAUCCUGAUAGUUGUAAUAUUAAAGCAGUAUAGUUGUGUGUAUAAAGCUGNNNNNNNNNNNNNNNNNNNNNNNNNNNNNNNNNNNNNNNNNNNNNNNNNNNNNNNNNNNNNNNNNNNNNNNNNNNNNNNNNNNNNNNNNNNNNNNNNNNNNNNNNNNNNNNNNNNNNNNNNNNNNNNNNNNNNNNNNNNNNNNNNNNNNNNNNNNNNNNNNNNNNNNNNNNNNNNNNNNNNNNNNNNNNNNNNNNNNNNNNNNNNNNNNNNNNNNNNNNNNNNNNNNNNNNNNNNNNNNNNNNNNNNNNNNNNNNNNNNNNNNNCGAGAAAGAGAUAUCCAUAAUGGAAGCCCCAGAUAACAUAUGUGAAGACCCAGAGUGCAUCAAACAAAGAAAGGAAUAGGCGAACUUGGUUUGCGGCUUGCUUGGCAAAAAUAUAUAUAGUAGAGGGGUGAAGGAGCUCGGCGGGAAUAAGCUUAGUGCCGGUAGUGCAAUACUACUUUCAAUUACAGAAUCUGAUGAUGAAGAAUAAAAGACUCUAAAAGAAACUGACUCAUAUAGAAUGCAUGUAAGCAAACUGCUUCCUAAAAGCGACUUACUUAUAUAGAAAUGAGGUAACCAAAGAGCUUAUUAAAAGCAAUGCUGUGUUGGCGCAAUAUUGCAUAUGUUAUUUAGAAAAGCAUAGAGAACUGUGAGUUACUGUAGUGAGGUUACAGUUACUAUUGCGCAAGUAUAGUGCUUUUGGUGCCUCGUGCCUCUGUCCUUAGAUUCUAUGGUGAGGGCAGCCUCAAUUCGUUCUUCUUGUUCUUUCGCUCUCUUAUGAAUUAUAUACUAGUGGUUCUUAAUACUCCUAUCAACAAGCAAGGUAAGCGCGUGAGCUUAUUGUUGUUUAGAGUUAGGUUUACUCAGUUCCAUAAGAAGUAGCACUCAAUUAGAUUCUUAUUCCAGUGUUGGGUUGGUGACUUCUUUCUAUACUGUGACAGUGCUAGCUAAAUUCAAAGCAAUGGAACAAGCAAACAAGCAUCGUUCCUAAGUGCUAACGCUUAUCUCUGGGGGUCGGGAUAGCUUCACACUGGCCCAACUGUCCCUAUAGCUAGGUUAAUGCUUGACUUUGUAGCCUGUUUUUCGACCCCUAGAAACCCCUAACGAUAGAAGACUGGAAUUCACAUUACUUGUUCAACCCACUAACGGCACUUUGGGCGAGAUCCACUAGACAAGACAGCGCUACCAACCCAACCUGACUUGAUACUUAAGCGAGCAGAGCUUCUGGAUACGAGAUUAUUACUACAGCAAACUUUCCACUCCACUACUUUGAGCUACACCCUCACAGAAUAAGUAAUAAGUGACACCUCAUAAGUAAUAAGUGCAAGAUUCCAUGAGUAUAUUGAAACUACUUCUCUUAUUUGACUUGAAUCACUCACUUUCCCCUCAUCUCCUUGCUUUCUCUCAAGAAUAGAAUCCGAACCCCCGAUUCGAUUGCUUGUUUGAGUUCUACCACAAUAGCUGCUUUCAAGGAAUGCAAUCCUUAGAUGGUAUGGCAUAGCGAAAAGUUUACACCUUCAUUAUUCUAGGUAAGAAAAUCCCCUUUAGCCUACUCUACUUUUACAUAGCAAACUAGUUGGUGUACUCCCCCUCGACGCGCUGACCCGAUGUAAGUCAAUCCUUUUGUCUCACAGAUCCAUCUUCUUUCUUUCUUAGAGCAUUAUUGAAACCAUUUGAACCUAGUCGCGUGGAAGGAGCCAGAUUACAGAUACUUUCUAUUCUCUCGACGUCUUGACCCAUACAUAGUCUGCUAAUCGAUCAACGUCUUUGAUCCUUACAAGCUUGGAUAGGACAAUAUCUCUCUGUUGUUUGUUACAUAACACUGAAUUUGUUCGUUCUUAUUACUAUGAUUCUUUCUAUUCUUAUUUCUUACUCAUUUUGCUUUAUUAUUUAUGCUGGUUUAACCUCUUCUUAUUAAUUUGUAUAUGAAUACUAGAUGAAUACUAGAUGAAUACACUGUGCCCCCGACUCUGAAAUAAGCCCUCGAGGCAAGGCGCAAAGGAAGAGAUGCUCUUCUUUGGUCUUGAACUAGCUCUCCCCGCUCGAGAGUUCAUGUUGGCGAUUCACUUAAUGAAUAGGUCCUUUGACGAUUCCCUAGCAGUGCCUGUUUGGUACCGAGCUCUUUUACGUCUUUAUUCCUUCACGCGCUAAAAUCCAAUGGGCACGAUCUGCUAAAAAGCCUUGUUUAGUUGGGUCUACAGUUUCAGUGGGUACUCACCUGCAACAUAAGUUGGGCAAAACAAACCUAGGUUCAUUCCACUUUCCACUGGACGAAGGAAAGAAAGAGAUAGAAUACAACGGGUUUUCAGACGUAUAGAGAAUUACACGAGAAUCUAGCCUUGGUCCUCUCUUUCUUUGAUAGGGCACAUAAACCAAUAUCUAAUGUGAAAAGGUUAUUGCUUAUCCCGGAAUAAAUGACAUUGAGACAGAUCCAAGUUACUGCUCAAAAGAAAAAGCGGUAGUAGCCGGGCACCGGUAGCCCCAGCCCGUAUAUAACAGUAUCAGAAAGCUAGCACUCUUUGAUUGCGGGGAAUUUCCUCGAGUCGGGUUCGAUGCCACAAUUAUCAGAUGUGUUCAAUAGUGGUUUUUCAAUUCUUAUAAUUCACUUAGAUAGUGCUUUUGACAUUAUUCUAAUUCACUCUUUCAAAGGUAAUGAAAAGGUGUGUUUCGAAAUUCUUAUAAUUCCAUCUUUCAAAGGUAAUGAAAAGGUGUGUUUCGAAAUUCUUAUAAUUCCAUCUUUCAAAGGUAAGGUAAGAAAAUCCAAUGGUUUUGAUUCAGUAUAUUGAAAUGUUACCCACGCCCGGUUAUCCACUUUCAUUAAAACCAACAUGCCAAGCUUCCUUCUUCGCUCAAGUCUCAGUGCCAAAGUAAGGAAAAGCAAAGACGCCAAGGCUCAAGACCAAAUAAGCCCUACUUUUUCCUAACCUUCGGAGAGAAAGAAAGUAUUCGUUAUCACGCCUUUUCGUAGUAAGCCAAGAGUGAGUAAGUGCUUCAGCAGACUUGUCUUGGAAAGUACCAGGAACAAGUGCUUUAUAGAGUCAAUAAGGAUGUUCUAUAAUUCUUUCGCAAUGAAGCAGCGCCUCUUCAUUGUCUCUCGUUACAGGGUUGGAUGCAUAUUUGACUCUAUGGUUAGGUUCCUUGGUCUAGCCCGCAGAUCGCUUGUCGGGCGCUUUCGGGGGCUACAUCUUCACUUGCGAUCUUCCUUUUUCUCUUUUCCAAGUUCAAAAGAACAAGUAUCUUGUGUUAUAGCCAACGAUUUACCCCCUAUAGAGAGGUUAUACUUCCUAUUUCUCUAUUAGGCUGCUACUCUUAAAUGCAUGUCAAGGAAUGAAACUGUAUGAUAUACGAUCGCAGAGCUCCUUGAGUCGACUAUAAGACUGUAGCAGAGCCUCCUUGAGUCAACUAUAAGACUGUAGCAGAGCCUCCUUGAGUCAACUGUCCGUUUGAUAUACGAUCGCGGAGCUCCUUUAGUCUUAGCUGCCUCUUUUACUGCGAUUUGAAUACUUACUAAUUAGAACAUAGCUUUUGCAUGAAGUAGCUCUCACUCGAUGAAACAUAAAGGGCAGCGGAACAGUGAAAGAACUAUAGGGUUCUAUGGCUUUCUAUCCUGGAUCCGGGGAGCGACUCCCAUAUGUAUGUUCCUUUCGACCUUAAAGCCGAUUGGGACAUGGCUCCUUGCUCGCAUUUCUUUUCUAGUCGGGGUCUUUGUUCGACCUGCACGCCCGCUUUCCUAAAUAGCAUGAAAGGUUCUUCAAUGGUUUGGUCAAGAGGGGGAAUUUCCCAAGGAGAAAGGGUCCUUAUCUCAGGAGACUGAUCGGCGGAGUAAUUUGAUCAUCUCUGUACCGACUUCUACAUCACAAUGACUUUCUAAAGCUUAUGCCCUCUAUUUUCUUGAUUCUUUUCUUUCUUAAACAGCCUUAUAUUCUUUUUCUAGAAGUAAAGCGGACUAGCCAAAGCUUCUGGAAUCACCAACUCUAGCUCGUCCUUUUGGUCCUUUUCUGAUCCUAAACAAGAACGGGCCUACUUUGAGCUCAGCUCCAGGCACCGAUGCCGAUACAAGACACAACCGCUGCAGUUCGACUAAGAGCAUGGUUCCUCCUCCUAACUAAAUAGAUUGGAAGUUAUUAGCUUCAUAUCCCGGUGUUACAAACUUCUUAUUAAUGUCUUUCACGCUCUAAUGGAAGUUUUGUUAGUUUGAGCCAUUGUUGCGAAUGAGAUAGCUUGAACCUAUGUCUCCUAGAUAAUUUACAAUUCUGAAGCUCGUGGAUCCCUCUUUCGUUAUUCCCCCUUGGAUUCUUAGAUUUCUCGUAUACCUUUUUCUCCCUCUGAAAUCUGCACAAUUUCCGCCUUUUGCAUUUCUGGAUGAGAAUCCCACAUCUUUGAAACUAGCCCCACCGUCCCAUCCCCUUGAAUCGGGCGUAAAAGAUUCUAUUGAUGGUGGAAUCGUUCACUCCUCGGUAGAGCCAAGCCUGAGAAAAUCGAAUUAAUAAAGAAGGCGUUAGAAAGGAAGGACGAGGACUCUUGCUUGUCCUGCCAUGCCAUUCAUUCCUACAUAGGGCCUUUGCUUUCAUUGAUUCCUUCUCCCAUCUAUGCGACCACUUCCUUCUCCCAUCUAUGCGACCACAAGUAUCAAUCCAUCUCCAAUUCACGGGAUACCUAUGAGCCGUAGAGCCUACUACCCCAACGCCUUUGCACUUGGAUUUGUAGCUCCGCACUGCAUUUAUCUAUGCAAUGCCACUUUCGCAUUACCUUUUUCCUACUGCUACUCUUCUUAUACCGGCGAAGUUCUUUUGAGCCCCUGGCGAUCGAUUCUAUGAUAUUCCCCCACUUAUGAACGACGCAAAACCAAACCCUUUUUGAUGCCGUAGCUGCAGCUGCCUGCCACCUGCCGAUACUCUUUUCUUGUGACUCGCCUGCCCUCUAUCUCUUUUCCAUGAAUGAAUGACAUUGGGACAGAUCCCUCAAAAGAAAGCUGUAAGGUUGGUUUAAGGAAUAGAACAUCAAAUUGCGGCGUUAAGUACAAUAGUAAGCUCAGCACUGAUACUUACUUACUUAUUAGUGUUAGUAGAGAGCCUUUCAUUAAAGUAUAAGGAGACACAAAGAGAGGUCUUUCAAGGCGGUAUAAUCAUUUUGAUAGGUCUUCAUCAAGUCGGUAGAAUCAUUUGAAUCGUUGUAAGGGAAUGCCUUAGUCAAUCAACUCACUGCCAUUGACCAGGGGAGGGGGUGGGUGGCGAACAAGACUUGCUCGGCAACAGCUGAAAUAGAGGAAUAAGCACAUAGGUCUUGAAGAAGCGGGUCUAUCGAUGAUAGCUUUUUCCAUGUAACGUUGACUUUACCCAGGAUGCGCUUAUCGCAGAACGCCCUAUUGCAGAGCCCAUUAACUUACUCAAAAGAUCAGUAUAGGAAGUUGUUUAGGAAUAUGUCAAAAGGGACGUAUAGGAAGCAGUUUAGUAAUAUAGGAAGCAGUUUAGUAAUAUUCAAUUGUCAAGACCGCUGAGCCCUCCACUGUUAAAGAAAUUCGAUUAGUGCAGUAGGUAACCCAGCCCCUAAGGGUAGUACGGGCCGGCCUUAUACCAAGCAUUUCACUUCACCUAUGCCUAAACAAUGCAAGUAAUCGAAAACAAUGCAAGUAAUCGAAGCGUACCAUGAAAAGCAGAUCGAGAUAGACGAUUCAUAUAAUUGCUUGAGUCACUGAUUCUCAUUGCUUGAGUCACUGAUUCUCUCAGUUUGAACUAAUUACUCAUCUCAAAAGUAAUGUAGAGUUACUCAUCCAAAAAGUAAUGUAGAGAUAUCAUAGGGUAAAAGCUGCACUGCCUUGCGGCCCGCUUUUCAACAAGAAAAAGAACAUUCGACUGAGCUAUCGAGUAAGUAAAGUCGCAGCCUUUAGAGCUGGGUGCCGGGGCUAAGAUGAACCUCCACUCAACCCUCAACCUAGACAUAUAAUUCCUAACUCUUUAGUGGAUGAUUUGAUUGGAAUUACUAGCUCCUUAAUGGAUUUCAUUGAUUCUUUUUUAAGAGCUACCGACCCCAAGAAAAGAGUAUGUUACAUUUCCAACUGGCGGUCUACGUGAUUGAAGAAAGAGCCAUUAGCCCUUGCCUUCAACCAAAGCGGAUUUUUCGAAUAAAGGAAACACAAUGAUAUAAGCCUGCCCUGCAUAAAUCGUCCUGGCACCAUAAACGUCCUUAGCGCUCGCCCUAACUCCAGCCCGUCUUCCAUUCCCCUCCUUUUUUCAGCCUCGCUUAUGUUUCGCUUCAUUGUAAUAAUGAGAAGUCCAUUGUUGGCUCCUGCGCCAUAGCACCACACGCAUAGACGCAUAAGGCCUUUUUUCAUUAUAGAUUCAAGCUGACAACGCUUUCUCUUACUUAGGGAAGCAGAAGCUGCGGGUCGUCGUGUUCGUAAACGCAUCCAAAAUGGUGAAAGUUUCAUCCGAGGCAGAAGCUAACGAAAGACAGCGAGCGAAACGAGGGCGGGUGAAGGAACCGGGGAGAGUCAAUGAAUCCUACCUAUAACUUAAGAGCGGCAAAGAACACUUUGAUUCUAUAUGCCAUUAGUUGAAGCUGUCGUAUACAGUAAAAAGAGAAAAACCUUGCGCCAGCCUUAAGUAUGUAAUUAUGUAAUGCUAAUGAUUCGUAUACUAGGCGUGGUCUGAGUAUAUUCUAUCGACGGAAAGCGUCUAUCGCAGUGCAAAUCAUGUGAGUACCUUACCACCAACCAGAAAAAGUUCCUGCUCGUAAGGCUGGAUUCAAGCCAUGAUUCCAAAUCCGGGGUAGUGGGUCUCCGCCCGUGUGGAGUGUUUGGGAUAGCUGGGUCUAUAUAUGGGUAGAUAUACUAAGAUCUAUAAAGAACAAAUGGGAAAUGAAAACCGACGAAAUACGAUUACGGGCUAAGGAUAGGACCAGUCCGCUGGUCGAUAGGCCAAUAGGAACAAAAUAGGUAUGGCGCCCUAUCUUUCAAGCUUUCAAGGAAGUCGUCUUAUCAAGUUACCCAAUAGAAGGAAGGCUGAAAAACCGGAUCUAUGACUUCACCCUCCCUUGAAGCGCUUCUGGGCUGUUCACUGGAAGCUAGACCUAACAACUAGACGACCACCUGAUCGUAGACCAUCCACCAAAGCCUUUGUUUUUGAUUCUAUUUCUUAUGCAGGGCGUGCUAGCGGGAAGUCCGGUUAUGAACACCCUCCAUCAACCAUCGUAUCCAUUUUCUAUUAGGUGGGUCGGGUCAUAUUAGAUUAUAGUAAGUACAUUUAUUUGCUCCUUGUUAAAACUCAUAAUCGAAUCUCCUUCUUCUAGGCAACCAGGCUUACUCGUAAGAAAGGUAGAGAAUAGAGUGGACUGGGCUUGUUAAAAGAAGUAUGAGUUUACAGUGAAAUCAGUAGUAGUUGCCCUUACAUUAAGUCGGCCUAGCCAGUAGUAUACGAGAGGGGAGCAUUAGAUAGUAGCAAGAGGGAGUUCAGUCUGCUACUGACACUCAACAGGGAGCUGGCUUUCAGCACCUCACUUUUUCACUGUAACUGGGCAUUCAUUCCACUUUAACUUGACCCGGACUAAGGGUUCAGGAAGGAUCUUAUUAGCAGAAUUCAAUGAAUUUCACCCUGCUUGCGUCAUCUGAAAGAAAAGAAGGGGUAUGGGUCUUUGAGGCUGAGGGCUGUCCAAUUAUAGAGUUUACUCAUAUUGGAAUUAGAGAGUUUACUCAUAUUGGGAAGCUAGGAAUAUAGGAAUAAGAUAUAGUAAUAAGGGAAGCUAGGAAUAUAGGAAUAAGGGAAGCUAUGAAAGGCAACUACUAGACUCGCUAACCACUUCUAUUUCCUCUCCUGGUAGUACUGUUAGAGUUAGAGUUUCAGACCAGUUAGUAGAUACCUUAUUCUUAUUCUAGGUAUUGUUGACAGAGCAAGAGGUGAAGUAGUCGUCAGCAGCAAACGAUAAGGGAGUUGUUGCCGGGUAGCAAGUAUACGAGUAGUUGGCUCUUUGAACACAAGUCCUGAAUUCACCUAUAUUAGAGAUGAGUGAAACUAGUAUAUGUACCUUCUUUGGCGCAAGUAGUAGAGUAGUUGGCUCUUUCCAAUUAAUUGAACCCUGCUGGCUCUGCUGGGCGAGUGGAAUCUUUUAUCCUUUCUAAAGAUAGAAGAAAUAAAGAAAGAAAUCCAGUGGUCAUGUUUUUCACUGUGAAACCAACCCUGGAGUAGUUGCUAAUGACAAAUUCUCCGAAGUAACAAUAUUAGAAACCAUUGCUUGUCUCCGGGUCUAAAGUCUCAGUAACACCUGAUUUAGAGUAUUAGGCUUUCCCCCCUGAACCAUCUUUUGAGUCCUUUCCUGGAGACUUAACUGCUGAUUCAGAACAAACACCUUACUGACGCAACUAAGUACUAAACUUCUUGGCCCUAUCCACUUUCCGGAUCCCAGUAUCUGUCUGAUAUUGUCGCCCUUUCUUUUCCACUGUUGAUUCUCUCGGCACCAACACACGAACCCGGCUCCUGCUGCCCUGGCUUUCUUUCUCACUUUCCAGAUAGCUCACCCCUUAUUCAGUGCUUUAAGGCAACAAGCAACUACUCAUGUUGCGCGUUAGCGAGUUAAGGGCUCACUACUUGGAGUCUGAGUCUACCUGGUGUCAUUCUGGUUAGCAGUGAUGGAAUUCUUAAAGUAAGUAUCAGCUCCCCGCUGGCGACUUUCAUUCUUUCACUCCUUAGUUUGAUUCUGAUCUAUUCUGAUCUAGUACCCAAUAGCCAGGGAAUCAGUGGUAUAGUUAACAGACUUCAGGGAAUCAGUGGGAGUGAUUUCAGCCUGUGACUACUUAGUUUGAUCCGUUCACCUAUAUAAAGAGAAUAUAGAAUUUAGUAAGGGCCAAGGCCAAGGCCAAGCAACGGCGCGCCAAGACACUACUAACGUGUCGCGGCAGCGAGUUGAAAGCUGCGCGGCAGCAGCAGCAUAGAUAUGUUAUAACCAAUUAUGACCAAGUCAUGUGUUCGCGUUACGCGGCAGGCGUUCUCCCCACAAUUCUCUCUUUUCUUCUAUGCUUAACACAAGCACCUGAACCGACCUAUAAUAAGUGUUCACCCCGACCCGACCUAUCUUUCCAUUGGCACAACUAAUGCUAUCAGCCAAGUCGCGUAUACAAAUAGAGAGAGGAGCCUCAUCUACUUAUUGCUCCUAUCUUAUUACUUCUAUGCUAUCUCUUAUGAAACAGGACUAGACUACUACUCCACUGGCAAAACAGGACCCCUACGCAGCUAGGCACAAGUUGAUCUAAAGUAAACAAAUCAUUCAUCUACUUCUCCUCUGGCAACUGACACUCGGUCUUCAACUAGCACCGAACCUAUCUCUACCCUUAACAUUAUUGUUUCUAGUUCCAACCAAGGCUAUGGAGGUUUCAACUUCCACUCGGUAUUCCACACUUCGAUUUUCAGAACUGUCAACACCUUACUUUAGAACUGAGCUUGAUUGUUCCCCUGUUGUUACUGUUGCUGAUGGGGAUCUGUCUUCUGUAGUUUGAUUUGAUGGGAAAUCCUUCAUUGGAAACUCAGAAACUUGCCAACGAAGUCAUUUCUGCCUACCAUCUUUAUGGUUCCUUCCCUGAACUAAUUGAACUAGUUGACUUCCCACUACUCUGGUAUUGUAUAAGAAUAGUGGCCCAGCGACUACUAGAUGCGGCAGAUGGGUCAUAUAACUACUGAGUGCAAUUCACCAAGCAACUACAACAAGGCCCGAGCUACUGCUUUUCUUUCCAUGACUACUUAUACGGAUGCUUAGAUUUAGUCUCUCGCUCUUGUCUGUGAGUCUUCCUUGCCUUGCCUAGAUCCCAAGCUAACUCUUAUGGUCUUAUAGCUCUGCCGGGUAUCCUGACUUUAUUAUCUCAUUCCCUGCGGUGUUUCUCCAAUUCCCAUGCACGCUCUAGCUUAAGACCCGGCAGUGACCAUUCCUAUAGGAGUCAUUUCAUUCUUUUACUAAUGAGUCAACUUCUGCAUUCUCAGUGCAAUUCCUUAUUCUUAGUUAUUCCUCUGAUAAGUAAUAGUUGUUUUGUCUUGCUAGGUGCCUAGCCUAGGGUAUAUGAGUGAGUAGAACAGAAUCAGUAUUAGUCCUUAGUUCAAUUCGUAUAAGUAGUAAGUGGGAUUCUUUAACAAACAAGUAAGGAUCAAAGAUGGGAAUAGCAGACCCAAACCUAACUCUCUAAAGGCGGAUUGGGAGUCGAACUACAAAGUUCUUUUUAUCGGACUCAACUCACACUCAAGGCAAUAAGGUUUUAGGCUGCUUAGUUCAUUUAUUCAAUGAAUGUCCUUUAUUCGUACUAUACUAUUUGUCUUAGAGCUUGUAUCCAAGGACAGGGAUCCUUACUUAACUAGAGACUAAUGGCCCAAUGAGAGCCCAGGUCACAGAAUUUCGUUUCUGAACAGAGGAACCUAGUGUUCGAUCGGUUACUACUCUACUACUACUCUCUUCGGGCUUACUACUCAAUAGUUGUAGGCUUACUUCUAACAUGGACUAAUAACUUAUAACUCAUAACUAGUAACAGACUGAAACAACUAUACCCUAGCCUCGCCUAACAAGUAAGUAAGUCAACCUGCCUAGUACAAGUAAGUAAACAAAGAACUUACUAUAAGGGCCUCUCAACUGGACCACUACUUGUCAACUUCAGACUCCCUCGGGAGCUCAACUAAGUAAGUAUAUAGUAGAAAAGGCGCACACAGGACAGAUAUAGUAGUUCCGCUAUUGCUCUUGAAACUAAAGUACUGCUUCCAAACCUGCUCUUCAAACAACUUCUUUAGCGGCAGUCCGGGUUGGGAGUAGCAACACCUACUUCUAUUGAACUAAAUGAAACAAGUGAGUUACAGCCUGUGUUGUGUUCGUAUGCCUCUGCCUCUGCUGCCUAUGCCUUUAGUUAGUAAUUUGUAUGGGGUUCGUCUGCCUCGCCUCUCAAUCUUAUCUAUCUUAUCUUGUUAAAACAAGGGAAAGGGUAAACGAGGUCAUUCAUAUGAGUCCCCUUCAGUUCGAGGUCUGUUAUGAAAGUCUAGUUAUUGCCCCUUUAAGUAGUGCUUCUUCACAAACUACCCGAGCCGCCAAGACACGGAUAGACAAGUUACUACUCAUAGCUUCCCUUUCAGACUACACUAGGGAUAGGGAAGAAACAGAAUCAGGCCAGGGCAGCUAGGGCCAAGUCACUCAGAUAUUAAUUCUCCGAUGUCAACAAAUACUUCCUCUCCUCAGCUACAAGGCCUUAGCAACCUAUCACUUAUUACAAAUAUUCUGCAUUACAAGUUAUUGGAAGGUUAUGACCAAUCCUAGGAAAGAAAUAAGUCACAAUUAUUCAAAAUAAGGGAGCUGACUGAUGGAGAGUCAAAUUGAUAUGAAUGAGUUGCUUUGAUGUUGACUACCAGAAAUUAGUAAAAUAGUUGCCCGAGGUAUUAUAGAAGAUAGUAGCCAAGAUAGUUGCCAGAGGUAGAGGUGUUGCGGGAAGGGGAGGCGUGUAAUAGAAAAAGUCACUAACCCCACAACCCAGUAGGGCUCUUUCUCGAUAGUAGGAAAACCCCGUAGGGCUCUUUCUCGAUAGUAGGAAUUUGCCUCUACAGUAGGAAAGUAACUUCACAGUGUGUUUAAAGCAAUAAAGUUCUAAUUUCACUUUCCGGUAAGAAACAUAAGAUUUAGCUAGGUCUGAUAGCUCAGCAGAUAUAUAACUGAUAGCUCAGCAGAUAUAUAAGUAUUCCGUCGACUAUUAGACUCUAUUCUAGUUCUCUCUCUCGCAUUACUUGAAACAAAGAAUUCCACUCCAAGGGAGGAAACGGAGCCAAGCUACUCAGAGACAAGACUCGGCAAUAAAUGUAUUAUUAAUGAAGUUAUGAGCAAGUCCUUUAUUCUAUUCUGGGCGGUAGGAGCCGAGUUCUGGCGGUAGUGAGUUCCAAGCGUCAGCUACGAAAUAACUUGUUUCAUCCGGUAUUAUCCUUAAGAAAGUUCUAUUGAUUUUCUUAUACAGGGUGUGUACAGUGUCAGUAUAGGAUCAAUUCCAGUCGUUUUUCUUUUGACUAUGGUGAUUCCAACAGUUUUAAGCCCACUCUACAACUCUCUUCUUUUCUUUAGUUCACUACCGGUCAACUCUCUUCUUUCUUAAAGGAAGGAAUGCUAGGUGGUUCGGCAAGAAAAAGCCCAGUGUUAUCUAGCUCUAUCAUACAAUACAUCGCUCUUUACCGCUCGAACAAGAACAGGGCAUUCUCAUUCUUCAGCUCGAACUAUACUAGCAAAACCGGGAAUCAUACUAACUAAUAUCAGAAUAAACCCACAGCCAAUAAGAGGAACGCGGCCUUUGAAUCACUGAUCGCCGGGGUUGCAACAAGCAAAUAGUACCUCCCUAAUAAGAAGGAUCCUGCUCUACUGCCUAACAGCCUUACUAUCUUCACUUUUCGCCUUACUUGAAAGCCUCUGAGCUUCUAUGCCUCUACUCCUUUCCUUAGUUGCAUCCUAUCUAUCCUAUCUAUCAGUCCGCCCCUUGACUCUUUAACCACUGAUUCGGAUCUUUAUUUGAGUGUUUCGAACCACAACAUCCCGGUUUGUUAGCCUGCAACUCAGCUCUCCUAUUCUUAUACCUUGGAGUUAGCUACUGAUCUAAGUCUCGCUUUUGCUAGUUUGUUUGUUAAUCUGCUUGUCGAGUUUCAUUCCUACUAAACAGCCAUAGUACAAGUCAUUCUCCACAGACCCAUAUGAUAGACAAAGACAUCCUCCGUAUCACCGACCCUACAAUGGAAAAACCCUUAUCUCGGUUACCCAAUUGCAUCCGUUAUUGCAGGAUGGAUUCUUUCAUUCCUUAUUCCGUUUCAGUGUCUCUAGUAUGAGAGUAUGGGGCGCACCUACUCGUUCUUGGGCUGCGGAGCUCGAUUCCUACUUCUUAAAACUCAUUCUUUAACAGCAGAGCUUAACUCUUACUUUGCAUCUCUUAAAACGGAAGCUGCUCUCUGCCAUUCUUACUUGCUAGUUUGUGAUUCCCUUGUGUACAUGCCGCUGUUCCUCAUACACCUAUAGCACAUGCGCUACUGCAUUUAAGGUAAGUAGCCUUAUGAUUCUUUAUCGAAAGGGAGAGGCAUAUCAGGACCUUAGUUCACCAAUAAUAAGAGGAAUUAUGUUAACUUCUAAUAAUGAUGUUUACUUGACACCGGCACUAACAAUGAGGAAUGCGCUACUACCCUAUUAGAUCGAGAAACACUACUGGAAGGGAUCUAUUGACAAACAGACUCGAACUACCGCUUUUAAGGCAGCCCUUCCCCCUAUUAGUCUGUAGAGCUCCUGCCCUUGAUUGUUUCCCUCUGGACACUGAUCCUUGAACUAAACCAGUGCUAACAGGGUUCUCACUGCUGUCUCUUAGCCUUGUUUUGAAACUAACUUCCCCCACGCACUCUGACUCUUUGCUUUGAUUCCAAUGCUCUUUGCUUUAAUGCUCGAACUACGGACCCGUAUUCCCUAUCUAAUGAUCCAGAUCUUUUAUCUUAUUAAUAAGUAAUUGGACUAAUAGUAGCAAGACGAUAACUCAAAACUAUGGCAGUGACUGCAGCUUAUAGGGCUGUUACUGCAUGGAAGUUGGUGGUCGUUAGUGAGCGGUAGCUCUAUUCUAGGGGAGUAGUUAAGUGAAGCCUGUUUGCCAUUACAUUAGUUCCAUCCUAAUAGUUAGUAACUCGAUUCUUGUUAUCGAAGAAAGCGGAAUGAAAAUAAGUGUAUUGAGAGUCAAAGAUGGGAAGAGCGGGCUAGUAGGAGGUAGUCACUACGGAAUGAAGUGCAAGAGGUUAGCGAUCAAUCUAGUAGUUAUUAGUUCCGUUCGGUAGCUCGUAGUUUAGUCGAUAGCUCGUAAUUGAGUUCUCAUAUUAUUAGUUAGUUAGGGCCUUGUUAUAUGCAAGUGAAGCCUGUAUUCAUUGUGGAAGAGCUUAGUUUCCCCGGUACCCCGACUGGGAAUGGGAAGCUUUUGAUUCUCACUUUGGAGUCGAAGUCCUAUCAGUGCAAUAUCUGUUCCCUUCUUAGAUACCUAUAAAUACGACAUUCUCCCAUUACUGGCACAGUUUCUUACUUGGUGGUUGACACCUUAACAAAACUAGUGCUCCCGAGACUUAACCUAUUGGCGAACAAUGGUUCCUUUCCUGCCUCCCGAGCCUGUCUUCUAUUCUUUACACGCUAGGUAUCAAACGGACAUUGUGCCCAAGGGCUUUAGGAUCCUCUGCCACAUGUAUCAGCCUACCGUUAUUAACUAGCAAACUUAUAUUACUGCCUUAGAGUCUUAUUACUCGCAACACAGGCUUAGGCGAGUGAGGCAAUCCAUAUUCUUGUAUUAGCUCUUAGGUGACUGUAGGACAUUCCGACUUCUUAGCCCAAUUCUCAGAAAUGAGUUUAUUUACUCAGGGGGCAUUAUUGGAAUCUGAUUUCUAUUACUUUUACUCUGAUUAGCAGUGGUGAAAUCCUUAUAUGAGUAAGUUCAAUCUAUGUGGGCAGUUACUGAUUCUUUCUAUUGGUCUUAUCGCUCUUGUAGCAGAGACCAGCAUCUUGUAGCGUAUGGUAUCUUGUAUUAUUGACUUGUAGUAUUAUUCUCGUUAGUUGAUUUCCUAGCUAUGAGGAACAGUAUUAGAGGUUGUAUUAUUUGUAGAAUGAGAUAGAGCAAAGUAAGAUCUAGGUUCAGUAAAGUGAGACUAACGGCCUAGGUAUAGAUAGUCGGGAAAGGCGGGACGGGGCUAGCUAGCUAACUAGUGGAAUGAAGAAUCAAAGGCAGUAGAUCCAGUUUUCAAGCAAGCAAACCCAAGGUCACAUACCUGUCGAAUCAAACUCAAAUGCAUAAUAAGUGGAAUAGUUUUCAUCUCCAAUAGGGGGGCAGGCAUUAAUAUUCAAAACUCUACAGCUGGGACAUCAUACACAGCUAGAUCCUAUUUGAGUUUAGGAGAUCGAAAGGGCAAAGAGAGCCAACCGGUCAUGGUCAUCAUGGAGAAAAAACCACUACUUUUUCGUUCAAUUGGCCUAUAACAAUCUUCUUAUCACUAAGGGCUCGAACCAUAAGAGACCACUCUGGGUUCAGUUAAAGUCUCUCUUUGGUCACAGCCUACUCGUUUUCGCAAGAUCCACAGGAGAAAGGGGGGUUUAGUUGAUUGGAUCUCGAUGACCUCUCCGAAAAAGGGCAGCUUAAGGAAGAGGCAAAAAGGAGGGCUUCUUCACAAGGCACCGGGACCUAAACUUUUCAAUUGAUGUGGCUGAGAUUAGCCUGAAACAACCUCCAGGUCCGCAAUCCUUUUUAUCUUAGGUUAGACUAAGGGAUGCUGAGGCUCAGGUAUCACAGGCCGUCAUCCAGAAAGUCAUUACUACCCUAAACCCCUUUUACCGUUCAAAAGAAACAGAGUGAGCAGAGAAGUGAUUGCUAAUCCACACAGAAAGGCUUGUUAUUACGAAUCAUGUGCCAAAUGCAAUCAGGCAUUCCAUGAGAAAGAACCAAUUCUCUGAGAAAAAGAACCUUGCUUGCCUUACUAGCUCUCUUGUUAUGAGCAUGUACCACAGGUGGAUUCAGUCCCUUCCUUAUAGCCUUGCAGUCCAAUCUUAUCUACAAUCCUUUUUCUUUAUUCUGGGCAUCAAUCCCAUGUGAGCAAAAAGGGCCAAGUCAUCACCAAAAAGGUAACGGAAACCCGACAAAUGAUAGUCAUGAGGGCCAAGCAACGGGCCAAGCUACUCAUACCGACAAGACUGACCCCGCUAAGUAGGAGUACAACUGCGACUUAUAGUACUGUUGCUACUGAUCCAGAUCCUUUACAAGUUUGGGCACUUUACCUAGUCAUACUUCUUUGGGCACUUUACCUAGUCAUACUUCUUUCUUUGGGCACCUUACCUAGUCAUAUUGGAAUUAAUGUUCUUAUUAUAUGUGAACAGAAUAAGGAAUUGAAGAGACAAGCUACGUAUAGACUCAAAACUCCGUAAUAGAAUCAUGGAUUCCACAAAAGGAAUAGAAGAAUUGGGGAAAAAGCGAACUAAGUAAGAUAAUAUGGGUUCAACCAAAGUAUGUUUCGGGGAACCUCGCAUCAAAGAAAGAAUGGAAUUGACAUGGAAUAAACUAUCUUAUAAGAGAAUAGAAUCGAAUUGGCACUGAGAAAACUAGCUUCUGUUCUUUUAAUGUAUUGAGACUAUCCAUGUUAUAUUGAUACAAGCGAGACCUAUGCUAUUUAGACUAAUAGUACUAGAAACAUAUACUACCAACCGACUCUAUCGGAAUCAAACUCAGAAGUAGGGAUCCUCUUACGCACCUUGUACUUGCCCCUUAUAUGAGAAAACGGAGACCCGCGCUACCUCACCCAUGUGCCUGCGCUACUUACACCUACUAAGCAAGGUACUCAUUCUUCAAGUAACAUCAUAUAUUCUGUGAGCGAUCAUUCAACCACUCAUUCUUCGGUCGACACAACGUUCAUUGGGACAGACAACGUUUAUGUGGUCCAUCACCCAUUAAUAGAGGUUACCUAGGUAAUGAAUUGGUCGGUUGAACCACCUUAGUCGACACCACAUUGAUUCUUCGGUCGACACAACGUUCAUUGGUCGGACUCCCCGGUCAAAUCACUCAGCCUUGUCGUAGCACCAUGAAUUCAGUGAGCUACCUUGCACCCACUCGUUCAGUAAGCGACCAGCAACUCCGUCAACGUGGGUCAUCGCGCCUAAGUCGACAUAACCAACGUGCAUUGGGACAGCGCAUUGGGACAACAUUCAUUGGUUGGUAAACUGAACCACACCGACAUAGAGAACGACAUAGAUAAUUAUAAGCUCUAUUAGGUUUAUUCAAGCUAUAAUAUAGAGAGAACCAUGACUCACUGUCAAUUAGCAUAUAAUAUAGAGAGAACCAUGACUCACUGUCAAUUAGUAGACCAAUCGUGAAAGAAUUGAAUAGCAUUGAGCGUGACACCUAAUAUAGACAGACGUUGCUUGUUCAAUAGUAAUAAAGACGUUUUUCAAUAGCAUUGAGCGUGACACCUAAUAUAUAACUAAGUCAGAAAUCCAACUCUAUUACUGGAAGAUACUCUGAAUAAUAACUUGCGGAUAAUGUGACUUUAAGAUACUCUACUCUGAAUAAUAACUUGCACAUAUAAUGACUGCUUGAGUAGAUGCUAUAUAGAACCAAGGCAAGGCCGGAGGGUGUAUUGAAUCAAAUCUGUUUCGUUGCUUGGUGGACUUGGGACAUAAGAAAGGUGAACUCUGGAACGGAUUCAAUGAAACUAACUCAUAACUCCUAACUCAGGUGCCGGUAUUGGUAUUUCACUCCUAACUAGUCAUUUAUGAUUCUCUCUCUUUCGUUGGUAACACUUCUGAUCCUGCUUAUUGAAUUGAAACACCUGUACUUGUGACUUUCGUAUGCGAGGUGGAUUCUUUGAUUUCGCUGUUGGUUGCCCGUUAGCUUAUUGUUGUGUUCGGGGCUUCUUGAAAAGAUUGUUGCCAUCUAUCAUAAAAGAAAGUAAACUAACUGCAAUUCUUCAGAAGCAGACUAAGGCACAUGAGAGAAUUAAGUGCAAACGAUGAAGAACUAACUUACAGAGCGAAAUCCUCUUAUUCUAUUACUAAGAACCUUGAAACUGCUGGUGCUACUGCUUAUGCUGACUGGCUCGAUACAGCUGCUUCGGAUCUUUAAAUGGCUUCUUCUAUUAGGCCUAAACCUGGCAAUACUUAACGCUUCAGUCAACAACUAAUUCAUUUCACAUUUCACUUCACUGAGGUUCUAUCUAUAUGAGAUUCUAUAUGAUGAUGAAGCCCCUGAACUUGACUUUCCAGAGAUUAGAGAUUGGCUUGUUGGGUAUGAAAGGGGAGCCUAUUGUAACUCCGAACCUAUCCUCUAUCCUUGGUUACUUCUUUCUAUCAUAUAGAGCGAAUUAUACUGCCUAUACUAAUAAGGAUCUUUCCACUCCAGAACUACUUGCUGCUGAAGCUAUUUCUUCUGCUUCAUCUGUUGCUCGUUAGCGCUAAAGAAGGACAUAAUUCAGGUUCCGGGCAAGGGCAAUCAGGCGUAUUUCCAAGUCAAGGCAAGAGGGCAGGGCGGAUUUAGCAUCGUGUUUCACCCACCAAGCCACUACAAAGUCUCCUGUGUUCGUCAACUUGAAGUCAAACAUUGUCAAUCAGCAGGAAAAGAUGUCCUGUUUUCGGGAGCCGAGUUCUAGCGGUAGCAGCGGAAUAACGGGCUUUGAAGCAAAUGAGGUCAAGAGUACCAGAAGCCGAAUGUUAAUCUCUACCUACUGCUGAAGCUAAUGGUGGUUCUAGUUUCAUCAUAUAUAGAAGCCGAAUGCUAAUCUCAUGCUGAGGUAAAGUAUCAAGUCAAGGGGUAGGGCGGACUCUCUAUAUUACAGUUUAAGCGCGUCGUCAAUAAGUUUCGACUUUCUCUUUUUCGUAUUAAUAAGUAGUUACGAUAAAAAGAAGCUAUCAGGAUCAUUAGCCAUAGAGGAAAGAGUUUUCAGAGCAGGUCAAGAAAAAGGCUAAGAAGCGAGAUCUUGCAGCCGGGAAAGUGUUUUCAACAAGAUCUGAAGCUUUAGUAUAGUUGCCUGCGUACUAAGCAAUGCUAGUUUAGAAAGCCUGAGUUCUUAACGGGUAGAUCGAAAGCCUUAGUUCUGAAUAGCAGCUGGGCGCCAGAGAGAAUAAAUGAUGGAGUCUGAUCUUAAGUCUUUUGACUUACUUCCUGCUACACCAUAAUAGCUAAAUGAUUAAAGCAACAGCGAAAGCUGCAAGGCAAGAAAGAGGGGUAUAAAGCAAGUAAGGUAAGAGCAGAGGUCAGCUGUCAAUUCCGUUUAGUUAGCCGUUAAGCUCGUUGUUGUCAAUGUUGCAGUGCUCUGAAAUUCGAUUCUCAAGGUUCACUCUACUUUCAAUUGAAGACCCAUGAGAAAUAGAUGCAAAGCUGUAUCUUUACUGGGAUCCAUACCAUGUGCUGUAAAGUCAUAAUGGAAUUGAACUGACAAAGAAACGAAAACAUACCUGACUGACGACGAUACUGCUUGAGCAUCAACCAAAAGGCUUGGGGCAGUGAGACUUACAAUACAUACAGCACUAGCCCCCGAUACUCACUUAAUGAAAUGGAAAAUCAUCUAACAAUCGGGAGCGGUAAAGUAUCAGUGUAAGCAGCAAGUGUGGGUGUUGAACAAAACAAGUAAGCUAAGGCGAGACAUAAAUCUGGGUUGAUAUCUUUAACUGACAAGUACUUGAAAGAUGGGUUUAUAGCCUACUAUCUUUAUCUUAAUGACUUUGAAGCAAGGUUAAGUAGAGAGAGAGUCGCUUCUUGCCCUUAAACGAACUACUCUUAUUACCUUGAUUCCCUUUCACCUGGUGUGAAAGCGCUCGAAAGAUGAAGUUUCAAGUUAGCGGGAAAGAAAUCAGUAUUAAGAAAACUCUUUAUAAGCGGGAAACACAAGCUUACGCACGCACCCCGUUUCCGUUACUUGGUCUUGCUUAGUGAGUGGUGCAUUAGCUAAUUCCAGAAGAGAAGUAAACAAAGUGAGCCGGGCAAGUCAAAUAAGUUGAGUAGCCAGUUGCUCCAGAAAAGAAGUAGAAAGUCCUGUUGAAGGUUAUAGGACAAUAGAAGUAGGCCUGUAUCUCGUCAUCAAGUUUCAAGUAAAGUAUCUGAAGUUUCAAGUAAAGUAUCUGGGCUGGUUUUUUCACCCUUAUUGUUAGUUGUAUUGUAGACCGCCUCUUCUACAAGUCCUUGAAGCACUAACACCAAUAACACAAUUCUACUUUCCGCAGGCAGCAGGAGAUAAUGCAGAAACUUGAGUUGGCGCGGGAUCAGAUGCUCUUACAGCCUUUGAAGCAGAAGCCAGAUCUGUUCAAGUUUCAUCGUUUUCAGAAGAAGAGGUUUGGUUAAGCCGUGAAAUGAUUCAAUUCAGGGAAGCAGUGUUUGUAUUUACUCGGUUCUAGACCAGAUGUUCGAGAGUCAAAUGAAAAUGAAUGAGUUGCACUCAGUCGUUAGCGCAACUGAACAAGUAGACAACACUAACACUUUCAAUCAUAUUCCGGAGGUACCAGCGAGCUACUGCGGGACGGCAAACUCACUAUCCUAGCGUAGUAGGGCAUUUCAAAAGAGAAUCAUCUUAUAUAGUCGACUUAACUCGAACGGAAUCUGCUCUCAUAGACCACUUUCCGCACCCGAGCAAAAGACUUGAGGAACCGCCCAGGCUCACCCCUCUCCUGUGACAAAGUUCUAUACAAUGCCAGUGAACGCUAGAUUAGAUUCCAUUCAGUUUGUUCAGUUAAAUGAGUAAGAACUAGCAAGGGAACUAGCACCCUCACUUCACUUUUGAAUAGAAACAUCAUUACAUCGCACAGCUGCAGAUCCAACUUAUUAUCUUGAAACUCAUCUGAAAACGAAAACUACAUUUGCUUUUCCAACAAGUGAAGAAGCAUAAGAUCCUUCGCCAGCGGAUUAUGAUUCUCCAGUUGAUGCUUUUGCCUCUUCUUCUAUUGUAGAUGACACUCGAACAGAAUAGAAUUGACGGGCCUUCUCAAGCAUACAAAGAGAUUCUUGGAGACAACACUCACACUCAACUCUACUUCAAUACAAGCACCAAAAGAGUAUACUCAGAUUCCUUACUUAUAGGCGCGGAAGAAGAAUUCUAGAAGCCACCAAGUCUAAGUGCAUUAGCCAGCGGGGGUGCUAAAGGAGUUUACAAAGGUUCGGAAAGCAAAAGGCAAUAAUGAAGUACUUGGCACCUUAGUGGAAGAGUUCGAUUACGAAAUUCUCAUAUAUGCGGCACUCCUCAUUCAAUAAUAAACGAGCAAGGGUGCAACUCCUCAUUCAAUAAUAAACGAGCAAGGGUGCAACUCCUCAUUCAAUAAUAAACGAGCAAGGGUGCAACUCCUCAUUCAAUAAUAAACGAGCAAGGGUGCAAAGGGAAAGCCAGGGUAAACUUCCAUUGUUGGAAGAAAUUCCCAAUCUUGCCUACCGACAAUGCUCUGAGAAUACUUGUAGGGGAAAGCCCAUCAUACAUCUAUACUGAAGUAGACCAAGUAAAGUCAACCCAGAUUUAGAGUCGUAUAAUCCAUCCUAUUCGUUGCGAGUAAACGUUAUCCCACAUUCCCAUAGAAAUGAAUUCUUCUCUUUCUUCCCCGAAACCUUGAACCUCAUCUCCCUCUUGACCAUGAGUUCUUCAUAUUGAAGUUCCGUUGGUUCCUUAGCUUGCUCGUAUUUAGAGUCAAUUAGUUUGUUUUGCGAAAUGUUACUUUGAGGCAUAGUGUACCUUUGAGGAUCGAGUGCCUUUUCUGGUUGCUCCGAGUUCGAUUCGAAAGUCAACUGCAAGCGGGAAGGAGACUAAUAUGAUGCUGCUGACCUGACAAGCGCCUUAACGGCAACAAACACCCCUGAUGAAAUAAUAACCCGCUUAUACUCUAUACUAAACUCUAUCUGCGCCCUUGCCCAAUACUGAAUAUCAAAGUAAGCAAUAACUUAAUCUCCAAGUAAGCAAUAAAAUAAUAAGUAGAAGCUCUGUGGCCUUGGAUGCGGUGCCUCAAUUCCCAUCUUUAUGCUGUACUGCAGAACGUAUCAACAAUCGAACAAGAAAGAAAGGCAAGCAAGGGCGGGGCAAGUAAGGCAAAGAACUAGCUUUCGCGCACCUGUACUGGAUUCUGCCCCAUGAACUAACUUUAAGUCAGAACCGAACCGCUUAACCGCUUUUCUCUGAUUACCAAGAUAAGAUCUAUACUAAACUAUCUUAUCUAAUUAUUAUUCUUAUCCGGAUUAUGAAAAUUGAUGCUUUCGUCGAGCGUAGGAGUUAAUGGUUGAAAGUCAGACAAGUAACUGCUUAGCAACUCGAUUUUCGGAUACCGGCUUGUUGGUGAUAUCGGCUUGGCUUCCCCUUUCUUUUGCUUAAAAACGAAAUACUUCCCUUUGGCCUAUCUAAGACAAACCCUCUGGAGCUUCUUCUCGGAUUGUUAACCCGAUUGAUAGAUCUAGAAUUACUAUUUCUAUAUGAGACCACUAUCACCCCUAUCUUUCUUUCGACUCUUCAAAAGUGAGAGUUGCCGGCAAGAGGCAAAAGAUAUUAGACAUCAAAUGCAUUUUCACUGCGGGUAUGGUCUAAAUAGGGAAUUCCACUAAAUAUGAGUUUCCCAUGGCUUAAACGGCGAAAAGAGGCCUUACUCGGCACAGUCUACUCGGCUUUGUAAGCUUCUUCUCCUUGUAAUUGAUUUCUGCCUUUCAUUAGAAGCUAGAAGACUCUGAGUUUCGGGUAUAUUAGGCAAGAUAUAGUUCUCGGCAGCAGCACGCACUUAUGGAAAUGCAGCUCUAACCUACUGGACUUUCUUUCGCAGGUCUUCCUUCUUAACAGGUUGGCUAACUUCCAUCUCAUCUUUUUAUGGAUACCAUUGCUCACGAUCUUUCCAAUUCUUUCUAUUCUAUUAGGUGGAAGCCAGUCAUAGCGAGACUCAUCUGGCACUGCGAUUGAGAACUUCUGCUCGUGACAUCUAAGUUAACCACUGAUUUGAUCUUUCGACAUCUAAGUUAACCACUGAUUUGAUCUUUCGACAUCUAAGUUAACCACUGAUUUGAUCUUUCCGGGAUAAUAAAGUAAGGACUUGAAGAGGAAGACAAAGGCUAGACCUGGAAAUAAGGAUUCCUUUUAGAAAGGGGACUACUUUUCACUGGGGAAUCCUUCUCUAUAUCAUACUGAACCUAUACUUCACUUUUGGGCGUCAGGAGCUUACACUAGAAUUGCCCCCAUCCAACCCAUCAUCUAAUCUCUAAGAAAGCAUCGUUUCCAUUCGAAUCCAGACCCCCUUCCUCCAAGUGAGUUCGACAGGCAAUAAGCGUUAAGGCGCACCUCUUCUAUCGCAUACUUGUUAUCUUGCCCCAAUCCCUUUAGCCAUCAAGUAAGCCACAAACCCUUUCUUUCCUCUUUAACUACAUAACUCUUGAACUCCUCUCUUACCGCACGCAUAUAGUAAACGAACAAGUAAGAAAGUCAGAAGUAAGCCCAAAACUCAGAAUUAUACAAGAAAGUUGGCAAGUAGGAAAGUGAGAAUUCCACUGCUAAGUAAGCAAAAGGGAAGCCCUAAGUGAGAAGUAAGCCCAAAACGAAAAACCUCAUGGAAAGGAUAAGGGAGCAACUGGUGCGUUGGGAACAGUUCCAUACCUUGGAGAAGCAGUAGAGACCAUUUACUCUAGGGGUGCAACAGCAGAAAGACUGUGAGAACACCCCAUCAAUGGGAACAUAUAGGAAAGGAUACAGCAGUAAAACAUAUAGGAAAGGAUACAGCAGUAAAUCAUAUGAAAAGGCUGCUGGACGAAGAGGUAACAUAUGAUGCCGCCUCGCCCCUUAAAGCUUCUAUUAGUAGCUUCAGGGUGGCUAACAGUAUAAGUCUAUCAUAUACGAAGGAGGGUGGGAGAUUGCAGCCCGCGGAUUGGCUAACCAAACCCGUAAGCGUGGAUUCCUCUGAGGUAGCAGCUACAAAAGUCAGUGAAGAUGUUAUCUUUAAGAGAAAUUGAGGCACUGUGAGCUCCAUGGUGCUUUACUUCUCUGGGAGUGAAAAGUGUAUACGUACCGAGGAAGUUUGGGCCAACGAGGAGCCCUAACAGUAUUAGUUGGAAGAGCCAGAGUGGAAUUAAGAUCUAGUUGCCAGCUGCUUGGCUGUUGUCAGUGGCCAUAGUUAUAGUAGCCUGAGUUAGAUGAGAUGGAAAGGUAGAACACUGGUUAGGAGUUUCAUUCAAUGGUCAGAAUAAGGGAGCUGUCACUAAUACUCAGACAACGAAUAAUAAUAACUAAUACUAAGCAUUGGUCUAAUACUAAUACUAAUAAGAAAAAACGAAUACUAAGCAAAGGUCUAUUGCUGCGUCAUAUGAUCUGGUUGACUUUCCUUGCACAAACAAGGACAUAUCCUUCUGAGGUGAAAGGCUAUUGAUUGGGAUUAGGAAAGCCUUGUUCAAAAGUCUGAGGAAAGAAAGUCCCACUGCAUCCGGUACAAAUAGGUUGCUAUUUAGCCAAACACGAAAUUAGGAUCAUAAAUCAUCAUAUAUCUAAUAAGGACACCCGCAAUCCAUUAAACAUUGAUGUUUCUGCCCCCCAUUGAUUUCUCAAUUAGCAUUGAUAAGGGCCCCGUAAUUGAUUUCUCUUUGAUAAGGGUUUUUCGAUUUCACAAGUGAGAAGGAGUUUUCGAUUUCAAGUAUAGUUCAGUGUCCUUGUGUCUUUGGGUUAAGGGGUAGCCUUGCCUCGCCUGCAAAGGGUCGAGCCUUCACUGCUUGUAUUCUAUUCUUUUCCUCCCAGUGCUAUUACAUACGGAAUAAGAUGUGGGUCGGAAGCUUGAUUCGAGCUCUUCCCCAUUCCUUUCCCCCAAAAAGAGUUAACCAUGGCUCGGUGGUAAAGCAGAAGAAAUCGAUGGGUUGAUUGGUUGGAUGCAUUCUGCCUUUCUCGGUCACACCCAUGCAUAGAACUUCAAGCCUUAGCAGUUCCGGCGGAUCAUCAUUGUUCGCACUCCAGGGAUCCCUAUGAUAUUUAGACAUUAUUCUAUUCCAUAUGAAGAUUUCUCUAUUACCUAUUAUAUAUGUAGACAUUAUUCUAUAUUCUAUAUUUAGACAUUGUAGACAUUAUUCUAUAUUCUAUAUUUAGACAUUAUUCCAUUUAUACAGAAUCCCCAUACGAGCGUGGAAUCCCCAUACGAGCGUGGAACCGGAACUUCCCCAUCUCAUCUGCUGGCAUGAAAUAGAAAUCCGUGGCAAAGCCCGUAAAUCACAAGGAAAUCAAUCUUAGACGCUUGACGUCGGUAGAGAGAGAUGAUUGGCUUCUUACUUGUUUGACCUCUCUUGGGAAAUCAAUCUUCUUACUUGUUUGACCUCUCUUGCUUGGCUUCUGGUUGUUUGUCUCCGGGUCUGAACCCUUACCUUGUCUUGCCCACUCGCCCCCUUCCUUCCCGGCACCAAGCAUUCCUAGAUAUUGCUCCAGUGGUUGACUACUCGCAUUGGUGGUUUACUAUCCUGCUCGCCUAACGAAAUCAAAUCAUCAAUACUAGCUUGGCCCCAACUAUUUCCGUUUAUCCUACAGCAGCUGGCGAGCCACUCUUGAGACGGAGCUUACUCGGCUAGCAACGGGCACUGGCGACGGAGAACAUAACUUCUGACUUUGGUUGUGGACCGGAACGAAUUACUUGCUCUUUCUGCUUUCCUCACCGUUGAGAACCGCAUAACUCAUUCUCAGUCACAACUUCGAAUCCACUUCAAUCAACCCAUUUGAAUAAGAGCGGAUCAAACUAUGCACACCAAAUCCAAUCAAGGAGGGGCAGUGGGUGAUUCUUCCUACCAAGGUCAACCAACACUCAAUCUCAACUCGUAGACUAGUAAACGAAAGCGAAGGGUACGCAAGGCAUUCGAUCUUCAAGCGAAAGGGAAGGGAGGUUCCAUUUGAUUCCGUUGGUAAAGGGACAGGUCAACAAAGUCCGCAGCUCUCGAAGUGAGAAUACACCUCCGCCAUAGGAUGACCCGAAAACGGGACCAAAUAGCUAUAGUAUCGCUACGUGGGGGAUCAGUGCUUUUUUACACCAGCAGUGACUCUAUAUCCAAAAUCAAUCGAUUACCAUGCAUUGCAUUCUUUUUUACACCAGCAGUAACUCUAUAUCCAAAAUCAAUCGAUUAAUUCAUUCCUUCCCGGUCCCCGGUUGUUUUCUCUUUUGUUUCUAUGCAUAGGGGGUCUCCAGUCUAGGAAUCCGGUUUGUUGCAGUUGAGUGACUCGGGUGUUGAUCAGAAGAGUUGCUCAGAGAGGAUCAACGUAGUUAAGAUUGAUGAAUUCGUUUUGACCCGACCGACGAGGUUAACCGUGGGAUCCUUUGCUUUCUGCUGUUUCGUUUGGAACAUUGUGGAUUUGACCUGACCCCUUGAGUACUUUGUAUCAAGAUUCGCAGCUCUUGCUUUUCUCUCUAGUUCAACGUUCACUCCUCCAUGGAAACUUCGAUCUCGGUGGUUCAAUUGAGUUUCAAUCCAUUCGGUGAGUUAUACCCUGUAGUAGCUCCUUCGCCUCUAUCGAAGGUACCUGUAUUCAUAGUAGCAACAGUAGGAGUGAGUUCAAAAAGAGACUAUACUUGCCUAGUAACAGACUUAGGGGGCCAAGCAACAGUGCGUACUAGAGCAAGAAAUAGGGUAUUAGUUUUUUGACUUCCCUUGCCCGAUCAAAGUAAUGACCUGAAUGGACUGAUGGUUAUUGUCCCGCUAUAGCUGGUGGAGUAAGGUAUAUCGGACUACUCCUGAGUUUAUGGUGUAGCCAGUAAGAGAAGAAGCAUACGUUGUGUUGCACUUUCUGAAUCUUAAUAAGAUGCCCGGAGCAGGUAAAGAAGCAGUUUUCAGAGCAGGAUAAGGGGAGAGAGCAGGAUCAAGUUCAGGAUCAGACUCCGGGGAGUAAUAGCCGGUUUAGGAUCAUAAGCUAUAAGAUAUGGUUACGUGGGCUAUCCGAACUCUCUUAACAGAGACCUGAGCCCUGAUUGAUAGUACUUAUUGGUGAAGCCGUGAACCUAGAUUUAGAGUCAAACUACCCAUGUUCUUAGACUCUUACGGCAUUUAUGACAUUUAGGUACCAACUCGAGCUCCCGAAAACUGUCAUUUCACUUGCGUAGAGGUGGGAAUUGGUUCUUCUUAUCCUGUUUAUUAUCUAUAUUCUAUAUUAAGCUUCCUCUCCAGCUGCUGCUUUAACCUCUUCUUCUUUAAUUCGAAGUUUCUAUACUAAAUCAACGAGUCAACCAGGAAUCCUUCUUUAUUGCUCACUUGAAAGAUACUUUACAGCUAUGUGGGCAUGAGAUUAGAGAGUCGACUCCACUUUCAUUUACUUUACAAGCACAAUAACUCUCCUUGAUUACGAAUAUGUAAGGGCCCUACCUUUUCUCUUUCGGGUUAUCCGUAAUACUCCUUUUCAGUCCUCCUACUUGGCUUCUUAGGCUUCUGACUUUUACCUUUUCUUGUUCUGCUGUCUCUCUGGCUGAGUGAGCUUCUCUGCUCUGUGUUGUUCUCAGUGAACUAGGAAGAAAAUAGACAUCAUUGGAUCCCCGCUAUAGACCAAAUGGAACUUAGUUAAUCCCCCACUGGGUUGGAUUCUCUGCAUUGAUAGCUUUAGUCUACCCUCCCUUCCCCACUCGCCCGCCCUUCCGCGUACUACUAUUAGAAUACAACCACUGCUAGUAAGAAUGCAAUUAGCGCCUCUCAUACCAGAACUUGGAACCAGGACUUUGACUCAUAAUAUCAGAAUAGGACUAGCGCUUCUAGCUCUGUAGCUCCUGUCUUCCAUUUUCUAUACACUAGAUAUCAAACUUACAUUCCUUGACGAAAGUCUUUAGUUCGGCAGCUUCGUUCUGUUGAUCCUGUCUGCAAUUCUUUGGCCCUUAUAAUAAUUGCUAGCGCGCCUACUCACAAGACUGCUUUUCCUGUCUUUGGUUCUGAAACUACUAACUAUAGGUCCCACUGCUUCAUCUAAUCCUGAUACUUUGUGGAGGUGUUUCGGCUUCCCUUCCUGGCUUUUAGCCUACCGCUCCGGUAUCUCGUUUUUUAGUUCGCCGCUCCUUUGUAUGCCCCGUUGCUUGCUAGCCCGCCCCUCCUGCAAUUCCGUGUUUCUGUCCUUUCUCUGUCUCUUACAUAUGCUUAUUAGUUUGACCUACUCGUUAGUUACUUGGUGAGUGGAGCUAUUAUGAAUCAAGAAUUGGACCGGCGCUUCUCUUUCCUGUAACUACUAUACACACCUAUAAGCCUGUCUGCACUAACUCCUAUUCUGACUACCCUGCUGAUCAGUCACCGAGCAAGAUAACCUAUCUUCUUUUGUGACUCCGCUCCCAAUGCCUAUGCUCCGUUUGAAGUCUGUUUCCCUUUACUUUGACUUUCGCUCUUCCUCUAUCAACUGUUAGAAUCAAACGAAUACUUAAUAAGCAUAAAAUACAAGAAUGGAGCUACUGGACUUCAAUCUUUCUCUAUUGAUCCCGGGUGUUUAAUGUUAGCCUGCCAUGCCUUUUUCUUACCUGUAUUCUUGUGCUACUGAUUUAGAUCUUUGCUUUAAUGCUAUAGUAGUAACUUGCCUCUUGAACUCCGAUACAUCUACUAGUACAAAUACAUACCUCUUUCUCUUACCUCAUAAAGUGUAAAUUACCCGGCUGAGAAUCGAGACCUCUGUAAACUCAUUCCAUUCCAUUCUUCAUCGGAUUUCGGUAUACCUCUCCUACGGCUCAGCUAACUCAGGCUAAUAAGUAAGUUUCUGGACACCUCGUAUCAAAGCUACCGAAAAAGGACUUAGGCCAAGCAACAUAGUCAGCGGCAGGAGCGGUGAAACUCUGGAACUCUAGGCGGAUUCAGCAGUAGCCAUUCACUCGAUCGACAAAAGGAAAUGCCCGAUGGACUCCUUCUUCUCUUUUUUCUUAGUCAAGUCAACAGUCUCAUCUCCAACUGAAUGAUCGGGCGUACUACGACUAAGAGAAUACGGGAAUGGUCCAAGAUCCGGAUACACUAAACCCUCUCCGACUGCAGACGAAGAUCGAGUUCGAAUAGAAAGUAUCCAAGGCAGGAAGACAUCAACAGAGUAAGCAAUCGAAGACUUCGAAGCUCUAAGAUAGAAGCUGCUUUCCAAGAAUCACCAGUCCCACGCUAUACGACGACAACUGAACCAUAGAAGGAGGCGGACGUAAUGGACCAGACAGACCAGAUGAAAGGCAAGCGGAGUCAUUCGACCCUAAAGGGGGCCUCGAAUGCUUACAAGACUCGCCUGAAUUGGACUACCAUAAACUAGCCCGACAUACUACUUUACGCAAUUUGAUACAUCGAAAGCGCACCAACCACAUAAGGUUCCACACCAAGAUCAAAUGAGGGACCACUAGUGGCAUUUCUCAUAUACGUUGGUUGGACCACUGCCGGAGAGAAAGGCUGACCCUAUCCAAAACCCUUAGCACAAUAAUAGGUGGGGGGUAUGGCGAUCCAACUACUACCCGCGGAACAGAGAUCCUUUCCAGUCAAGCUAUCCUCACUCAACAAGGGGAAUGAUUAGAAUCCAGCGGGGGUUAGUAAAAGACUAGGCCAAUGGUGCUCCACCAGCAACCUCUUACCCUCGUUCAACGAAGAAAGUGCAAUCCGUCCUUUCUUAGGGUUAGCUCUUACACAUUCUCCUUAUCAACAUCCAGGAUAUGAUUUGGACAAAAGAAUCACCAGUCCCCCACCAUAAAAGAAAAACCAAAUAAUGGAAAGAAACCUAAAAGAAGAUGUCCUACAACCGCAUACACAUACCCUCGAUACAAAGCAAGAAAGAAAGCAAACUCAGUCCUCGCCUCAGGUGAGCCAACCUUUCAAGCAAGAAUCUACUUAAACCACAAAGAAGAUAAUCAUUAUAUGAGAAAGAGCUUCAAAGAUAAGUGUAAGAAAUCCGGAUUUCGCUUUUUGAAUACAACUACAUUUCCUACGAGACGGAUUUAGGACUGACGGAGAGUUUGUUACUAGUUGUCAAGCCCUACAUGAAUUAGCACAAGGAUUAGUGCUUUCUCCCGGUUGAGUAGAUUUAUUCGCUUGCCUCGAAGACUGGCAUUAGGCCCCUUACUUAUGAUAGGAUUGAUUCGAAGCAAAGCCUUCUCUGGGAGAUGCUAGAAGAAAAGACUAGAAGCGCCCGGGGGGGCAAUUACACAGGCUAGCAGACAACCUAUAGCUAUUCCCUUGCAACAACCAAAAAUAAGUAAGCCUUCCUUCCAACAAUAGUAGGGUUUGGAAUGCAUACGGAAUGGAAAGCUAGAACGAAAGGGCAAGCAUCAGACAUAGGGACUACGGGAUAUACGUAAUAGCGGGACUAAGAGAUUCUCAAAACUAGUAAAGAAAAGGCCCCUUCGUAGACUAAGAAAGUGGGCAAUGGGGAUAGACCUUAAGCCUUCGCUUUUUCGGAAUACGGGAGGUAGUAAUGGGCGGAAUAAGUGGGCUGGCUGGGUGGAGAUAUAGGGAAAUCUAAGUAAGCGAUCUCAGACAUCUACAGAGGAAAUCCAAAUUCUUCCUGGAGAAAGAUUACAACACAAAUGACUAAAAAAGGGGCAAAGCCAGAAAUCCAAUCUAUUCUUUGCAAGAAAUCCAAUCUAUUCUUGACUUUUCUUAAGUAGGAAAAAGAGAGAAAUCAAGCAAGGAAUCCAAUUCGAGCCUUUGUUACACGCCAGGAACGGAGCACUCGCUAAAGGAUAUUCCCUUCCUUGCAGCACUUCAAAAAGGAGUUUCACAGACUCAAACAAAAGGAACUCGCUUACAGGACCGGCAUAGGGCGUUAGUGCUACGGAUUACUUACUAGAUGGAAUAGGCUUGUCUGACCUCUCCUUCCUUUCAUCUUUGGCAUCUCUCUUCUCUUAUGAUACCUUACCACUUUAGGGACUACCGGAAUCGAAUAAGACUGGUAGGAAGACUUCAAGGGCUUGGAAUGAUUACUUUAACCUAAAGCCGUUACAACCUUCCAUUCACUCACGGAACAAUAAUAAAGCCGUUACAACCACACUUCCAUUCACUCACGGAACAAGAAAAACACUUGAAGCCGCGGUAAACAGAUUUAUGUCAUCUGCACCUUCCAUCAGGAGGAUCAAACUCAUCUUUUCUAUUCCUUCGCAGAAAACAGACCCCAGGAAUGCUUGCUGUUAGCUGGUAAGGGAAAAAGGUUUGGGGACGAAGGGAAUCCGACUAUGGCACUCAAACGACUAAGACGAAUUCCGUCGAUUUGGACACUAUUCCUACUGCUACUGCGAGAGCUACUGCAGUAAGGAAGGAAUGCAUUCGCUUUCCACCAACCUUGUUUGGGGGGUUUUGACCUUGAUUACACGACUUCUGCUUCUCUCCCUCUUUUUCCUGUCCUAGAAAUCCGGUAAAGAAGUAAAGUAAACAAGCAGUGAGACAUCUCCUUAUAUUAUUUAUUAAUCAUUAAGUAGCACUUUAUUGAAAGCCGAGCAGAGCAGAGACUCGCUUUUUUCUUUGUACCGAAAUGAAUCAUAGGGAUACAUUAUUCGCGGAUUAUUCUUCCUUAUGAUUCGAGGCGAGGCUCAUAUGUCGAAGAGGCAAGGAAGAGGAUCCAAUGACGUGAUUACAGGGGCUGAUUCCGCGUGAUACUUAUAGCCAUGUGUUAGAAAAGGUGUCUAAGAGACUUAGUUCUUUGAAGUCUAGCUCUUUCUCUUUGGCAGGUCGAAUUACCUUCAGCCCAGUCUGUUUUAACAGCAUUGCCUACUUCUCCUCUAUUGAUCUGCACGGCAGGGAGUUGGGGCAAGAACAAGUGAAAGGUGCUUCUGAAGCUAAUGUGGUAAAGUCGAAAGUCAGGGGUAUUCGUUCCAAGUCGCAGGUAUUAGAGAUAGAGAUUGGUAACAACCCUAGAGUGAAAGGCUUAACCGAGUAGUAGGAAUCUCUGUCCUGUGCCCUUAAUUAAUGCCAUAAAGAAGGGAACAACCAUCAAGAAGGAACCAUAUAAAGAUGUUAGGAAGAAAUGCAUUCGUUGGACAGUUUCCGAGUAUCAAUGGAAUUAUGGCUAUCAGAGGAGUUUCCCCUGCCUUAUCAGACUCUAAAUAAGGGUUGAUGCAACUCGACUUGAUUGAGGCUUUACCGACCCGCUACUUAUGAGUUCCCCCACUUGAAGUUAAUCUGGAAAUUGGAUCUAUGGGGAGCACCCGUAUAAGUCAUAUUCCCUGCCUCAGAGACUUCUCUUUAUCUUUAUCCAUCCUGUCUACUGCUUGAGUAGACUUAUCAUUUGCUAUUGGAUACGGAACUUGCACUGCAGAUUCUCUAACUACUGCAUUCUGUUGAAACUGCUUCCUCGCCGGAUAUUGCUUAUGAACCCGGUUUUGAUCCUGGUUUUGAUCCUGACUUGCAAACUAGACUUUCUUAUGCUCCGAUACCUCUGUAAACUGCCAAGCUAGUGACCGAUUCCAAUCUUUCGAUAAGUCAAAUGAGUAACAAGUUCUUCUAUACCAUAAGUAGAUGUAGGCUCGGGUGCUUGUGUUGGUGGUGCUGUUCUAAAGUCUGCUCGGGCUGAAACAAGGUAUGACCCAUUUUCUGCAUCUAGUAUAAGGCAAGUAAUUGAACUACAAACUCGGAACCAGGAUUAGAUGAAGCAGUGGGACCUAUAGUUAGACCAGACCCGAGCCCCAACAAGCCGGAACUAAACUCAUUCGUAUAUGAGAAUAGGCAGAUUCAAAGAUGGGUACUACUAUUUGUAGCCGUAUUCGGAUAAGUAUUGGCAUGAGUAUAAUAAGAACAAGUCUCCGUUAAACAAGUAUUUGUUUGAGUAGCUGUAUCGGUAGUGAGAUAUAAGUAGUCAACUCAUCAACUAGAUAUAAGUAGUCAACUCGGAUUGAAGGAAGUAGUGGUAUACUAAAACAAACAAGUCAGAAAAAAAGGCAGUAAUUAAAAGACUACAAGAGGGGUAGGCUCGGUUGGUGGUUUAAGUCACCAAGCAACUACUAAUGACCAAGCCACGGAUAGACAAGUAGGCAAGCAGACAAGAAACUACUAAACAAGCAAGGGCGACAGGGCAAGGGGAUCAAUUCUGGAACUACCUCCUCUCAUUCUCAUUGUUACUGCUUUCAUUCCCACUACCACUAGGUUAAGUCUGUAACACCUAAGCUUCAGCCCGAGCAUACCCAGCAUCUGGUUUGCUAGCCGUGGUUUGAUUCCGAUACUGCUUAGGUCAAUUCUGAGUUAUACUGGGUUGAUUCUGUGGUUAGAUACCUUAGCUACCAAUAGUGACAUCCUAGCACUUGUUUCGGUGGGAAUGUAGCUGCUUUAAGACUUCUACUGACUAGCUGCCCCCUGGCUCUUAUUCUUGGACUCCCGGGUUUUUUGAUAGCAAAUAGAGAAAGUGGUUAACUCGACCUCCGCUCUGUAAACUCAUUCUGUAAUUACUACUUAUGAGCUUGCUGGCUUUUCUCUGAUCCUAAACCCCUGGCUCUGGCUCUGCUUCCUCGCCUCAAUCCACUCCCUUCCCUUACGCUGGACUACUACUAGUUGGGGCUCGGAAUAGCUUACCACAAACACAUAGCCAGUAUCAGGCGCAUCUACCGGAGUCAACUAAUACAGAUGCAACUGCGACAACAAAUACAGAUGCAACAGGCAAGGAAGCACUAACGGGAGCAAGAGGAGAAUAAAGAAGCAAGAUCUAUCUGGAAAGGAGACAGCACCAACCAACCCUCUAUCCUCUACCGUCAAGCUACUACUAAUCAAGCUACGACUAAGUCCUUUGUUGGAGGCUUUGAUACCGAAGCUUGAGAAGGAAUAAGGAACUAAAGGAAGGCCAAGUGGGAAGGGCCAAGCUACUCACUACCCUUGAAAGGCUGGAAACCAAACAACUCACUACUUGUUCUAAAGUGUAGUAGGCCUAUUCGACGGCUAUGAAGGUAGAAAACCACAGAAUCCAAUUCGUCACUGACAGAAACACACGCACCCGAAACUUCCUAUAGGGGCCUAUCCGUAGUCAACUCAUUCCAUUCCAUUCUUCUUUAUUACGCCAACCCAUAUGCCCUGUUUAUAGGCUUUCAAUGCAUUAGAAGCUCUCUUAGGCGUAUGACAUGAGAAUUAGUACAUCAAACAUCAGAAGUGCUUAAAUAGUUCAUUUCUUCUUAAUCAAAUAGACCCUUUGCCUUUACUUACCUUCAAGCUGUCUUCCACCCUUUAUUUAAUAACGGAUUUCUUUGACUACUGAGUUCAAUUACCUCAUUGGUAGCCGUUGCUACUGAUUCCACUUUACCACUCCACUCCUUACCUUACCCUUACUUUCGAACAGGAACAGGUGAUUCUCUUUCUUAUCUAUCCCUAAAUUAGUAACAAUUAUAUACUUCCAUUUGUAACAUUGUUACUUAGUUUUAGUCAUAUCAGUCCCAAGUUCUUCUAUACCUCUGGCACCCGAGUGAGUAGUUUCAUGAAAUACCUUAUCCGGCUUGUCUUAUGGCUCUGUACUCUUUACUACUCGUUUACUUGUUUGGGAUGAAACAGGACUCCUACUUGUCCACUUCAGACUCACAGUUUUCGGCCCUCUCUUAUCUUUCCUUCCAACCUAGCCGAGUUCUCUUUCCCCGCGAAACCAGUCCUACCUUACCCAGCCUAAUGGAAAUACUAAGUCAUUAGUUACGACUACUUGACAUGCUGAGAAUUAAUACCUUAGUUUAGGUAGGCACGGGAACCCUCUUUUCCUUGGUCAACUAAUACAGUUAGGGUCUCCAUUCUUCUCAUUAGAGGUAUCCGGUUCGAAGCAAGUAAAGAGCAACACAGUAGAUCGGCAGUUCCAGCAUGUAAGGAUUGGUCACAGAAUUCAAAUAAGUAGUUAGAGCUUUAGAGCUAGCAAGUCUGGAUCCGAAUCAUUGGUUAAAGAAAGAGAAAAGUACCCGUUUUUGUUUGAGAAUGAAAGCUAGGAGAUAUAGUCAGGUACCAGCAAUGAAAGGAUCGGUGUGUUAAGGGGACUGACUUGAGAACAGCUGAUGAAUUCUCUGAUCUACUUCCUUCACACUCUCCUUGAUUCACUCUUUUAGCCGAGAAAACAGAGGCGCUAUAUGCGCUUCAACAGAAGUGGGUAACCAAUUGUCCCAUGAAGACAGGACUCAGCCCUUACCUCUAUAGCAAGCACCCUUGCCCCGCAAAUAAUGAAUAUCUUAUUUACUUGAAGUGAAGCUAGCUAACCUGACUAGUCCUUGCUUUAAGAAGAGAAAGAAGGCUUAUCGGAGUACGAGCGAAAGAAUGGCAAGAAGGCAACUCGUGUUCAGCUUUCGUGAGUGGUGUGAGUUCCACUUGUUGAAUUGAGUUAGGAAACCUCCUUAUUAAAGGUUAAAGGACAGAGAUAGGGUUAAAGGACAGAGAGAGGCAGAGUUUAGUAUAAAUGAGUACAAAGCAAGCAAUAAAUCCAAUAAGUUGUUGAGUUCGUGCUAACUAACGUGUUAUGAUUUGGAGUUUUGGGUAGCCAUUAGAUUCGUGAGUUCCUGAAGCCGUUGUUUAGUGAGUUAAGGAGUAGAGUUCCGUUCGCCCUUGUACGUUCGAGUGUGCGGGGUGCCCUUAUUUAGCUUAGGUGCAAGGUUACUACUAUCUAUGGAUAGCUAGAUGAUAUUGCUGGUUGACUUCUGGUUUACUUGACUUUCACUGGCCCACAACUCUAUUGGCCCAACUCUCUUCUAUUGGCCCAACUAUCUUUACUGCUAGGUUAAUGCGAUAGCGGUAUCGUCUAAAGUUGAGUAGAAAGUAACGUUAAAGUAUAGUAUAGAUUACGGUGCCUCCGCCUCAUAGUAAGCAGUCAGCAGUGAGUUUAGGGGUGCGCCUAUGAUAUGAGCUUUGGCUUUGGAGGAAAUGAAGCAACUACGGAAUCUUAUCCACUAAAAAAGUAAACAGAACAAGCAAGGGAACUAGCAAACAAGCGAACAAGCCUAGAAGUCAGCUGUGUUAGGUUCAUCCUAGAGAAGAUAGUAAGUAGUAAGUUUCAGUUAGGUUCCGCCCCUACCCUAUAUAAGUUGUUGUGCGUGAGUUAGCUUUAAGAAGAGAGAAGGGAAUUGAGCUAUCCCAGACUCCACUCGGUAUUCCACUAUCCCAGCAGAGCCAGCAGCUUGUUGAAAGAAGUAUUUGUUUCGGUCGGCAAGGAAGCAGUUAGAAUCUGUUCUCUUGCUUAUAAAAGAGAGAAUGAAAGUGAGCCAUAGAAUCCUGUAUGUCUGCUUGGCCCCUACUUAAUCCUAUCUAUUCUUAUUAAGGAUUGAGCUGUUCUUAUUAAGGAUGGAUUGAGCUGCUCUUAUUAAGGAUUUAGUUGAGAAAGAGAAAAGCUAAUCGGUGAGGGCAAGCGAGUAGUUUCUUUCUUUACCAGUAGUUUCGAGUUGCUAGUCCCGUAGUUGGCGAUAGGAGAGUUCUUGUGCUCGUUGCUUGGCCCUUUUCUUCGAAUAAGAUAGCUCCACAGUAAAGAUCACUUGCCUCAAUCAGCAAUCAAUCUGCUUUUUCCUUUGUAUGCCUUCCUUCGGCAAAAGGAAUUAACGAUUCUCCCCCUCUGGAAGGGUAAGGUUCCAAUUGAUAGCUAUUCUGGCAUUCCUAACACUAACAGAAGCAUUUACUAGCCUGAGAGGUCUGGAUGACAGGAAAGAAAUAAAAAGACGUUACCAAAAUAGGGUUCAUUAGCCUCCAGCCGAGGGAGAAUUCUGGCUUGUUCCUCCAAGUCGUAUAUAUAUAUCUAUAUAAUAUAGAGUUCGUCCAUUCGGGAAGGGGAUGGCUGCCCACAUACAUGAAUAGAAUCAGAGAUCUUAUAGACUCCGGAUUGAUACUAUAGGACAUGGGAACCCAGAGAAAGAAGGAUUUUGACUCUAGAGGACAUAGGAAACCAGAGGUUAGAGAACGAGCAAAGGCAAAAUAUAGUAAGCAACCACAUUCUUGUUUAGGGAUGUCUUGCCUCUCUUCAAUGGUUGCGGGAAAGAGAGAAGGGUUCAGGGAAUCUGAAGGUAUAGCUUAGAACACCGACUGCGCUAAAGGAAGAAUACCGGAGUGGCCCGUCCAAGAACCGAUGAUUUGCGCUUUACCUAUAUGGAAUUGAGUAUAGUGGUAGUCGAAAGGAGACGCACUACUUACUGCCGAACACUGGUUCCUGUAAGUCUGGGUCUAGGGCAUCUGGUCCCACUAUAGUUUGCUUCAGGCGGUAGCGCAUCUCCGUCUUAAGGGAGGCGGCAACAAUAUAACCUUUCUUUUUGGCUGUGGACUUUGAUAGCAUAAGACCACGUGGAAGGGUAAUGCCAUAAAGUUCCCCUGGAGACCACGGAAAAGGAAGCGCCUAGUGGCUAAGUAGUUCAGGUCUGGGCCAAGUAUGGAUAUAGCAGGCAUCGAAAAGGCAUUGGCUCACACAGUCCAAAACAAGCUCCUGUACCGGCACUACCAUUAGAGUUCGAAGGUUUAUACCUAUACUGGGGCAAUCUCAUGAAUUGGGUGGGAAUUCCUCUUAUUCAAUCCAUUGUGCCUAGGCGUGUGUGGAGAAGUAAAUGUAUGCCCGCGCAUUCAUAUGUUCGGGUGUGCAUGCCCGCAAGGUUCGGCUGUUUUGAGACGUACGCUCGGCCUAUUUCUUGGUGGAUCAACCAGUGGCUGCUAGAAUAGGUCUUAGUGCUCCAUCAAAGCAGGAAUGAUCUGUCAGUUGGGUAUAACAUGGAAAGCAUUAAUAAGGCAAUCAACAUUGUGAGUGGAUUAGUCAGUUCCUCUGUAUGAAGCCAUGAGAGCAUGCCAAGGAUAGAUUAACGAUGAAACCACAAAAAGGCAAUACUUCCUCUGCUAUGGGGCGAAAGAGAAGAUAAGAAUCGACUUGCACAAAAAAACCUCUGCUGACCCUUACGAAACUAUUCUUUACAAGCUCUUCACCUUCCAUUAAGAGAGUUCUAGUAUACCACCAAGCAUAGAGGUCUAUUAUCACGUUCUUAUUGAUGGCUCUUUAUUGAAUCGUAAGCUCCCUUUGCUUUCACAUGACAUUUGAUGGUUAUUAUCUAUGCACCUUCUACUUUAGCCAGAUGACUUUUCACUUUCAUUCACUUUCUGCAGCUAGUCAAGCAAGCACUAUUGCAAACUCCAACUAUCAAAACCGUUUAUGUCAAGGUUAAUGAAUGAUUCCAGGAUGGGGGAAUAACCAUAUUCUUUGUUGGCUCGCGAUCAAUGGCUCUAUGGACGUAUUCGUAUUCUAUUGUUCGAAUUUCAUGCACGCAUGCGACCUAGAAACCCACCCCCCUCUUUCCUAGACCCAUGUCCUAUUCUCCACAAGCUGGACUCCCAGCCGAGCAAGAUCCACAAUGUUCGAAAGUUGCUUUGAAGGAAGGCUAUACCACCAAGCCAAGCUCUCCCUGAGGAAAAAUAGACUCCUCUUGAGACGCUAUAGCUAUUGCUGCAGAGCCUAGUUGAACCGAUGAAACCGAAAUCCGUUAUCGUAGUUGGACCAGCGUCACUGGUAUAGUAGGCUACCUACAUAUGCCCAGAAACAGGGAGUCGGGUGCUAUUCCAUAGUUAGCCAGAUCUAGUGUAUUACAUGAUGUGCUACGCCUUACCUAUUCUUUUAUUAGUAGGUGAACUAGAAUCGUACCGGGGUCGCACAGAACGAGAAACAGUCAAGUUAGCCUAAAAGCAAGGUGCUGAAAGCCUAAGACCUAUUUUAGCAAGUAAGGAUCAUAGGUAAACUACAGACCGAAAGGACCAACUCUUAGGCUAACAGCAAAGAGAGGUAGGCGCAAACAGGAGAUAUAGCCUGAAAGCGGGAAGCGCUAGCGCUAGUGGGUUAAGGCCCAAAGAGAGGUAGGUUGAGAAGCAGGCUCGGUUCUGUAAAUGAAGCCUGAUUUCUGUGUUUUAGUAUUAGAAGCUGUAGACUAUAAGUCCAAGAACUCAACAUAGGCAACAGUUUUAGAGCGAGUAAAGCUAAGAUCAGGAUCUGUAAGCUAUAGCCUGAAAGCGGUAGUGCCAGUCUCAUAUGUAGAGCAGGGUUCGAGGUAAUACAGUAGAGCAAGAUCAGUAUCAGUCGGGUAAGAGUGAGUUGAGAGUUCUCGUAUGAAGGGUCGUGUUUCAAUCCGGUAGUAAGUAGCACCAUUCUUUCCAGUUUACAGAGCCGUGUUUCAAUCCGGUAGUAAGUAGCACCAUUCUUUCCGUUAGUAGUAACAUUCCUUUUAUGGGGAGUUCGCGGUUCUUUAACUAACAAGUAAGUAUGCUAGGGCAAAUCCAUAUGUUAUAGAUCGGGGGGCAGUAAGCCUAGAGACAGUAAAGCAAGGAUCCUUAGACAGUAUAGAGUAGAGCAAGGUUCGAGGACAGUGUUUGAUUCGCCAGGUAGUAGUUCAUCCUUAAAAGCACUAGUGGAGUUUGAGUUUCUAGUUAAGUUAUUUAGUAACUGUUCGAUGUUUGCUCCUAUCGGCUCAAUUAUAAUAGUACACUAGGACUAGGGUUUUGGAAGAAUUAGUAGAAUUUCUAACUUAAGAGGCUAUGUUUGAGUACACAAUCCAGUAAGCAAGCCUUGUUGACAUCAGUAUUGGUAUGAAAGCAAAGGAGCGGCAGCCCGGGCAAUAAAGAGAGAACUAAAGAGUAAAGUAUCGUUAGGCACUGUUGAGAGCCCAGUUACGAGUUAAAGUAUUUCCAGUAUUAGCUCAAUUCUGAUUAAUAGUGAUUUGAUUCUGAG
RNAcentral lists this long non-coding RNA (52417 nucleotides) under Musa acuminata (dwarf banana). RNAcentral describes it as "long non-coding RNA (MACU_LNC008402)". The record is from RNAcentral. Lineage: Eukaryota; Viridiplantae; Streptophyta; Magnoliopsida; Zingiberales; Musaceae.